CCAAAGAUCCAAUUGAAAGAGGGGGGAUACUGGCAUGAAUUCCAAGGCUCUUUAUUUUCACCUUCGAUUUCUAUCAAUGACAGAGACCUUGCCGACCGCUUAGAAAAGGAUCGCUGCGAUGAUGGAGUUUUCGACGACUUGAGUCUUCCCAGCGCUUCUCCAAUCGUUGAAGUACCAUUAUUCACACACGAUCUGACCCUUUUCAAAUGCAACACCACCUUAGACAAAAAUUCUUACCCACAACUUAAUUAUGGCUGCGGAAAUGCUAACCAUACUUAUUAUACCGCUUCAUUUAGCAGUAGUUUAACUAACCCCCCGCCGCCAGGGUGUGCAACCAUUCAGGUCCCCAUAGUUCCGUCUCCGUCUCAACCCAUCACGUUGUCUUCAUUGACUGCUGAGUUUUCCCUCGAAGUGGAAGCACGAAAAUGUUAUCAAUGUCGUGAAAGAAAAGGUGAAUGCCUGGUUGAAUAUGGAAAUUAUAAAUGCGCCGCCAGAGAAAAAGGUAUAUACAUUUACAUGACCUGUUUUUUCAUUCUCUGACGUACGAUAAUCCGAUUCCUUUCUUCAAAUGAUAUAAGGCCAUCUCCAACCGAUGGCUGGCCAUAUUUGCCUCCGUCUCCAACCGAGGGCCAGAGGGCCAGAGGGCUCGUUUUAGCCCUGUAAAAAAAAACCGUCUCCAACCGAGGGCCAAAGGGCCAUAGGGCCAAACAUAAUUUAUUAUUUAAAAAUAUUUAAAAACUACAACUUAAUUUUAUUUAAAAAUCAUGUUGGUUAGUGUUGUAUAAUUUUUAUGUCGGUUAAUGUUAUUUAAUGUUGUUUCAUAUUGUUUAAUGUUGUUUCAUGUUACUUAAUUUAAUUUAAUGUUGUAUAAUGGCUUAGGAAGUUAUAGGAAAAAAUUAGAAUUUAAAAAAAAUAUGAAACAAAUUUUGUGAAAUAGAAGUUAUAGGAAAAAAUGGAAUUUAAAAAAAAAAUAUGAAACAAAUUUUUUGUAAAAAUAGAAGUUAUAUGAAAAAAAUAUGACCCAAAUUUUGUAAAAUAUAAGUUAUAGGAAAAAAAUAGAAUUAAAAAAAAAUUGAAACAAAUUUUGUAAAAUAGAAGUUAUAGGAAGUUAUAGAAAAAAAAAAGAAAAAAAAGGUUUAAAUUCAUAAAAAAAAAAAAAAAAAGGAUUUACAACGGCUAGUGGCGCUAGCCGUUGGAAGUUUGAAUUCAAAAUGUUAUUUCUGUCGGUUGUAACCGACAGAAAUAAGAAACAUUAAAAAAAAAAAUAGCCAGCCCGGGGCUGGCUGGCUGGCCGAAAGCAGCCAGCCCUCCAGCCCUCCAGCCCUCUCUGAUCCCGUGGGGCCCUCCCAGAUUCCCGAGCCCUCUGGCCUAGCCCUCGGUUGGAGACGGUUUUAGGGCUAUUUUCGGCCCUCUGGCCCUCUGGACCCUUCGGUUGGAGAUGGCCUAACUAACAGUUUAUCGAGACACAAAGUAUUAAAUGAUUGUUAUAUAUGCAUUAGCCUCUUUUUUUUUUUGAAUGGUAACAUAAUUUAUGCCACUUCCAUCUUCUGUAAUUUAGUUAACAGCAGUUUUCAUUGCAAUUCAUGUUGCAGGAGAUAAGCAGGUGAAAUUGAAGCUAGGACUAGGUAAGAUUGAUAUCUCUACAUUUAAGAUAUCUAAUUGGUAUGCAUACUCAUCUAGGACAAGUGCUAGAACCAAAGCACGGAAAUCAGUCAUUCCCCAAUCCCUCUGGAUUAAUUUUCUAGGAAUCACGGAAUGAGCAAGCGUUUAAACACGUUGGCAAAGUCCAUUGAUUGCUCUGCAUAACAUACCUUCAAUCAAAUUUAACUCUCCUUUAACAGUUGGUGCAGCUUCUGUUAUCGUCGUUCUAGUUGUUGUCUGCUGUUUCUUUUGGAAGAAGCGUAUCCAAAAACAUCAAAUUGUUGAGGCCCUUCUAAGGAGCUACGGGCCGCUUCAAGUUCAAAGGCAUAGCUAUUCGGAGGUCAAGAAAAUGACCAACUCCUUCAAAGAAAAAUUAGGACAAGGAGGCUAUGGUGCUGUUUACAAAGGAAAGUUAAAGGACGGCCGUCUUGUAGCAGUGAAGGUCUUGACCAAACUGAAAGGAGAUGGAGAAGAAUUUAUGAAUGAAGUGGCAGCCAUUAGUCGAACUUCCCAUGUCAACAUCGUCUCCUUGUUGGGCUACUGUUUUGAGGGUUCGAAGAGGGCUCUGAUCUAUGAAUUCAUGCCUAAUGGAUCGCUCGAGAAGUUCAUAUUUGAUGCAAGUACUCCCAAGAAUGAUCAUCAUCACUUGGGAUGGGAAACUCUGGAUCAAAUUUCACUGGGUAUUGCUCGAGGAUUGGAGUACUUACAUCGUGGUUGCAACACACGAAUUUUGCAUUUUGACAUCAAGCCUCACAACAUUCUUCUCAGUGAAAAUUUCACCCCAAAAAUCUCGGAUUUUGGCCUUGCCAAAAUAUGCAACAGGAACGAGAGCAUUGUGUCGAUGUUGGGAGCUAGAGGUACAGCAGGUUACAUUGCUCCAGAAGUAUUUUCUCGAAACUUUGGAAAGGUCUCACACAAGUCCGAUGUGUACAGCUACGGAAUGAUGCUUUCGGAGAUGGUUGGAGGAAGAAGGAACAUCGACACUGAAGCUGAAAAUACAAGUGAAAUAUAUUUUCCGCAUUGGAUUUACAAGCGUCUUGAACUGGACGAAGAGAUUGGUCUGCAGAGUGUUACGAAUGAGGAAGACAAAGUAAGAGCAAGGAAGAUGAUCAUAGUGAGCUUGUGGUGCAUACAAACUGAUCCUUCCAACCGGCCAGCGAUAAAGGAAGUGAUAGAUAUGUUGGAAGGGAGUGUUGAUUCAUUGCAGAUACCACCCAAGCCUUACUUGUCUUCUCCUCCAAAAUCCCCGGUAGAUUCUUCUACCACAUUGGUAUCAAUUCAGUAAAAAUCCUGUAUUUUACUUGAACAAAUCUAUGUUUUUUCUGAGGCAAUCUGAAUAAUAAAGUAAGCAUUUCAUUUUUGUUUUGUUCAUUUCUAUAGAUGAAUGAAUCAACACAGUAGGAGCGACCCUCUUACUACCACUCCUGCAAUCAUUAUAUAUUCAACACAAUUACAAACGCUUUAAUCAAUCCAAUUUAGGGAAACUCAAAGAUGGCCGGGAAGUUGCAGUCAAGUUCUUAUAUGAACACAAUUACAAACGCGGCGCCCAAAUCAUGUACCCUCUUCCAUGCCAUCCGGCUGAAAUCCAGUUUAUAUGCUUUGAAAUCAUGUGUUUCAAGAACAGCAUCAGGUUCGGGGCUAUAAAACCUACAAACAAGUAGAAGCUCUCCACAAGAUUGCACAAGAUACUUCAACACACCGUAAUUUUCCUGCUCCUCGGACAUUUUUACUUAAUGGCUAUCUGUUUUUAUCUCAUGAUCAUCCUCUGUUCUGAUGGCAGCAAGAACAUUAGUAACCUUAAUCUUCGAAAUGCUAUAGUCACUGCUUAGAAGAUAGAAACUUCCAUCUGAGAAGACAGCAUCCUCAAACGGCUCACCAUCUAGCUUAUGUUUAAGCCAUGAUUGAGCUCCGCGGACCCAAAAUGCAAGCUCCCGGUGUUGACUAUGAACUCAAGGUUGUAACAAUCGACUUCUUUCACUAGAAUCAACCAAUCUUGAUAUGAUCCCCAAUCUUGAUUAUGUAAUAUGCUAAGACAAGUCCACAAGUCCUUACAUGUCCGUCUCUGUGGCCAGAAGUCAUGAGCCACGGGACGGGACACCACGCCUUUGCCAACAAGAAAGUUCCUGUCCAAUAGCGUUUCUCCAAGCUCUGCAAACAUCAUUAACAGAGAUACAAUCAAUCAGAGGCUGUCGCUCAAAGAUAAUCUCCAGUGUAGUGUGAGGCAGCUCUUCCCAAUUCAAAUUCCAUGUAUAACAGAUGUGGAUAGAAAGAUUAUACAUUUUGUGAAGGCAAAUAACUCCCUUGCUACCUUGUAACAUGCCUCUUAUCAGUUCAAAAUCAAACUAGAAAAAACUUUCUAGAUAAUCUUUAAAUCUUUACAGGUAAAUCUCAAAAAUUGGGAUGCCAUUGUUUUCACUACAGCAGCAGUAAUUGUUCCUCGGAGUCUAACACUGCACGCGAACAAAUAAAAUGAUUCCCGAACAAAAAAAAGCAGAGACACAAACAAUCAAAACCUGAAUUGCAAUAACAAAUUGAUUGCCUGGAGAUAAAAUCGUUAGGUCCCAACUCGAAGAGAAUGCAAGCUUUUAUAUUUUAUAAGAGAUCUCUGCAAGAAGGAUGCUGUAUAUUAUCAACAUUCUCAAUUCCUUAGUUAAACCCAUGAACACGAAGAUGAUAUUUGACUCCGAUUCCACAAGCAAAUAGCUAAAACAAUCGAACCGCGUUCACACGUUGUUAACCAACAAAGAAUCGUUCCAAUGAGUUCAAAAAAUUGCAAAGAAGGGCAUGAAUCCGUGAUGAAUCACAGAAACAAGUGCUCUGAUCAAAACCACUUUCAAUAAAGUUGGAAGCUUUUUAAGUUUUAAGUGCAUUUUACUUAAUACCCAAUUCUUGCAUGCAACAGUCAAAAGCUUUAUUAACUCCCUAAUCAGUUCCUAACCCACCAAAUCAUCCCAGAUUUUACAAUCACAAAAUUUCUUAUUCCUUAAGAGAGUAAAUUGUAGCAAUGAUCUUUUAACUUUAAUCAAAUUAGAGCAAUGAUCCAUCAACUAAAAAUCCAUUAUCAUUUGUCCCUCAACUUAUCGAAAUGUGUAGCUAUAGUCAUUUUCAUCAAUUUCGUCAAAAUUUUAUCAAAAUAAGUUAUGUUGGAAUAACCAUUUAUAUAAUUAGGGUCCCUCAACUCAUCAAAGUGUGUAAUUAUGGUCAUUUUCGUCAACUACGUCAAAAUUUUUGUCAAAACGAGUUAUGUUGGAAGGACCAUUGCUACAAUUGGGUUAAAGUUAAGGGACCAUUUUUCCAGUUGAAUUAAAGUUGAGGGACCAAUGGUAAUGAAUUUUUAGUUGAGGGAUCAUUGCUCCAAUUGAGUUAAAGUUAAGGGACUAUAGCUACAAUUUACUCUAAAACUUAACCAAAAACAAAAAAAGGAAAGAAGUCUCUGGAAUAUACCGGUUCGUCUCCUUUUUAACCGAAACGGUGCGCAUGAAGGUUUUAAUUCCUCGUUUUGUUAAAAAUAUUGUCUGGGUUGGGUAAACUCAAUAUGGGCCUCUAAAACGGGUCAUGUAGCGGUCCAGUUUAGCCCAUUUACUUUGUAAAUUUUUUGUUAGGGAUGAGUAGCUCAGCUUACUUUCUGAACAACGAAAAAGCCCAAUGUACUUUAUUUAUUUAUAGUAAAAUAGAAAUGUUAUAAUAUGUAAAAGUUAAAGGGAUAACCUUUUAGAUAGGUGCGAAGCAGAUGUAAAAUAUCACACUAAAACUAUAGCUCAAGUGAAUGACAAAUAAAAGAUGGAGGAAUGAAUGAUAUUAUUGAUCCCUUUGUUUUGAUUUGUAUUCUCUGUAUCUUAUCUCUGUAUAUACAUCGAUGGCAGUAGGAAUGCUCUAUUUAUAGAGUGAAUCCAUACACAAAUUCUUAAAGUUUGAAAUUUACAACAUUUUGUUUCCAAACUCUUCAUCAUAUUUGUGUAGGUAUUGACAAAGAACUUAUGUGGGCAUUCAUCAGAUAGCCGAUGGUUUCAUCAGUUAAUGUUUUCAACUGCCAAUAUUGACUGCCAAUGGUUUCAACACUCCCCCUUAGAUGCCCACAUAUCAACAUUAGUUGCCUCGUUAAAACCUUGCUUGGAAAAACCCAGUGGGAAAAAACCAUAGCGAAGGAAAAAGAGUACAACUUUACCUGGAUUGUUAAUAUAGUGUUAAGUAUGCUUAUGUUGCCUCGUUAAAACCUUAAUAGGAAAAACCCAGUAGGAAAAAUCUUAAUCGAAGGAAAAAGAGUACAACAAGCAUGUAUCAUGGAUGCUCCCCCUGAGAUGUAUCUCCCAUUAAUUCCGCAUUCUUCAAAUUUAGCUGUUUGGUAAGUCGACGUAAUCCGAUACUUUGCACUAACUUUUGAAACGUGCAUUUUGGUAGAGACUUGGUGAACAAGUCUGCCAGAUUUUCAUUAGAACGGAUUUGUCUGACUUCAAUAACUUUAGCCUUCUUAAGCUUAUGUGCACUGAAAAACUUUGGAGAUAUGUUUUUAGUCUUAUUGCCCUUGAUGAAUCUUUCCUUCAUUUGGGCAACAUAGGUUGCAUUAUCUUCAUGAAUGACAGUUGGAUUGUCUAUCUUCGAAGUCAAACCACAUGAAUUCCGAAUAUGAUAGAUUAUUGAUCUUAACCAAGAACAUUCACGACUUGCUUCAUGUAAAACAAGUAUUUCUGAAUGAUUUGAAGAUGUAGCAACUAAUGUUUGCUUUGUUGAACACCAUGAGAUUGAUGUAUCUCCAUUCUUGAACACAUAUCCAGUUUGUGAGUAGGCUUUAUGCGGAUCAGAGAGGAAACCAGCAUCUGUAUAUCCGACAAGGACCUGGUCAUUUGUGGAGUUCUUUGAGUAGAAGAGACUCAUAUAUGUUGUCCCACGAAGGUAUCGCAAUACAUCUUUGACACCCUUCCAAUGACGAAUUGUUGGAGCAGAGCUAUACCUGGCUAACAAGUUGAUUGAAAAAACUAUAUCUGGUAUAAUACAUUGUGCUAAAUACAACAAAGCACCUACUGCACUCAAAUAUGAUACUUCUGGACCAAGGACCAUUUCAUCAUCUUCUUUUGGACGGAAUGGAUCUGUCUUAAUGUCCAGAGAACGAACGACAAUUGGCGUGCUGAGUGGAUAAGCCUUGUCCAUACUCGCUUCUGGAUUUUUUCAAUGUAAACUGAUUGGUGGACCAAAAUUCCGCUAGCACAAUGCUUGAUCUGCAGGCCAAGACAAAAUUUCGUUUUUCCAAGGUCUUUCAUUUCAAAUUUGCUUUUCAGAUAUUCAGUAGUUUUAUGUAACUUUUCAGGAGUUCCAACUAGGUUCAUAUCAUUGACAUAUACUGCCACUAUAGCAAAUCCAGAGUUGGAUUUCUUAAUGAACACACAAGGGCAAAUGACAUUGUUGAUAUACCCUUUUUAAUCAAAUACUCACUGAGACGAUUAUAUCACAUUCGUCCAGAUUGUUUUAGCCCAUACAAUGGUCGUCUUAAUUUGAUCGAGAGCAUACCUCGUGGUUUGUUAGCUGUUUCAGGCGACUUGAGUACUUCUGGGACUUUCAUAUAUAUGUCAGUAUCUAAUUCUCCAUACAGAUACGCAGUGAUAACACUAUAAGUCGCAUGUCAAGCUUUUCUGAAACCACUAAACUUAUUAAGUAACGGAACGUAAUUGCAUUCAUUACAGGAGAGUAUGUCUCCUCAUAAUCAAUUCCAGGUCUUUGUGAAAAUCCUUGUGCAACGAGUCGUGCUUUAUAUCUUGCAAUCUCAUUUUUCUCAUUGCGUUUCCAUGUGAAUACCUAUUUGUAACCCACAGGAUUUACACCAGACGGGGUUUGGACUACUGAUCCAAAAACACUUCAUCUUUCCAAGGAAUUUAAUUCUGCCUGGAUUGCAUCUUUCCACUUAGGCCAAUCUUGUCUCUGUUUGCACUCAUCAACAGAGUGGAGCUCAACAUUAUCAUUUAAUAUGAUUUUAGUGGCUACUGCGAAUGCAAACAUAUCGUCAAUGAUUAUUUCAUUCUGAUCCCACAAUUCAAUAGUACGUGCAUAAUUUAUGGAGAUUUCAUUGCUUUCAUGUACUUCUGUCUCUUCAGGGACAUGUGUUUCAUCAAGGACAUUUUCUUCUUCUAGAAGUCCAGAAUCAUGAAUUGUAGAUUUGUCAUUCAUUCCCUCUUCCUGAAUGAUUUCAUUUGGAUUCAGCUGUGUCAUUGUCUUUCUCUUUUGAGGGGCUGAAUCUUUUGAACCUGGUGGUCUACUACGCUUCAGGCGUGCACCAGAUGAAUCAUUCGCUGCCACUUUAUUUUGUCCAACAAGGAUCAAUUCUGGCAGGUGCAUUUGCAGCUGGUAUAUGUGAUUUUGUCACUUUCAUAGCAUCAUUAAAUGCAUCUGGCAUUUGAUUGGCAAUGCUUUGAAGAUGAACGAUCCUUUUUACUUCAUUUUCAUAUUGAAUGCUUCGAGGAUCAAAAUGAGACAAGGUGGGAACAACCCAUGUCAGUUAUUUCCGUUCUUUUGGAACAAUUUUUUCUCCCCCUAACGAUGGGAAGAAUGUCUUAUCAAAAUGAUAAUCAGCAAAACGAGCUGUAAACAUAUCACCUGUCAAGGGUUCCAAAUAUCUAAUGAUAGAUGGUGAAUCAAAACCCACAUAAAUUCCCAGUCUACGCUGAGGUCCCAUUUUAGUGCGUUGCGGGGGUGCAAUAGGCACAUAAACAGUAUAACCAAAAACUCGUAAAUGUGAAAUGUUUGGCUGAUAUCCAAACAUGAGUUGUAUUGAGGAGUAUUGGUGGUUGGUUAUAGGUCUCAAUCGAACCAAUGAUGUAGCAUGUAGGAUGGCAUGUCCACAUGUAGAAACUGGCAAUUUGGUUUUCAUAAGCAGAGUGCGAGCUAUUAAUUGAAGUCGCUUGAUCAAUGCUUCUGCUAAACCAUUUUAAGUAUGGACAUGAGGAACAUAGUGUUCAACAUUAAUGCCCAAUAUCAUGCAGUAAUCAUCAAAAGUUUGAGACGUAAAUUCACCAGCAUUAUCAAGUCGGAUUGACUUAAUGGGAUAAUCUGGGAACUGUGCUCGUAAUUUAGUUAUCUGAGCAAAAAGUCUCACAAAAGCUACAUUCUGAGUAGACAAGAGACAAACAUGUGACCAUCUGGUAGAUGCAUCAACCAAAACCAUAAAAUAUCGAAAUGGUCCACAAGAUCGUUGAAUAGGUCCACAAAUAUCCCCUUGAAUUCUUUGCAGAAAUGAUGGGGAUUCAACAUCAACCUUUAGUUGUGAUGGUCUAAUUGAUGGUCUAAUUACCAACUUCCUUUGAGAACAAGCCUUGCAAGGGUUAUUAUUUGAGAUAGCAAUGUCUCUGCUCAAUAAUGGAUGUCCAUUAGAGUUGGUAAUGAUCAUACGCAUCAUGGUGGAUCCUGGAUGACCCAGACGGUCAUGCCAAAACAUGUAAACUUUUGAAUCAAUGAACUUCUGGUUCAUGACAGUAUGUGAUUCAACUGUCUUUAUGUAUGUAUAAUACAAUCCACUUGACAAACUACGCAACUUCUCCAAUAUAUGCUUCUAGGUAUCAUUGGAGGUAAUGCAUAGAUACUCCACAUUUUCUGCACUUUUCAUUUCCAUGUGGUAUCCAUUUAAACGUAUGUCUUUGAAACUCAACAAGUUUCGAGUAGAUCGAGUGGCGUACAUCACAUUUUGUAUGGAUAAUAUUGCCAUUUUGUAACAUAAUCUGGGCUUUCCCUGAGCCUUCAAUCACAUCUAAUUGGCCUGAUAUUGUUGUUACCUUUACUUUUGUAAACAUCAAGUUUGAGAAAUACUUUCAAUCUCGAAGUAUUGUAUGCGUUGUUGCGCAGUCUGCAAGACAGAUAUCUCCGCCAUUUCUCAUGUUCUGAGAAUGAUCAUAGAUUUUAUCCAUGCUCUCUGAGUAAGGGAAUCAGAGUUAAAAGCAAGUUAUAACAAGAAAUUUACAUACUACUUUUAUUGAAUCUGAAAUGCUAGUUUUACACAACAAGUUCAGCAUAAUAAAAGUACAUCAAACAUAAACGAUUUAGUCAGACCGGUAUACUUCAUUCUCCCUUUCCAUAAUGAAGUUUGAAACAUCUAGGUGGGUUGUGUCCAAUUGCCCUGAUAAAUCAAAUACUGGAUCAGGUAUAUCUAUUGGUUUAGCUUGGUCGAGAAAAUUGGUCUCGACACCCUUCACCUUGAAGGAGGCUUGAUACAGCUCCACCAGAUGUUUUGGGGUACGACAAGUGCGCGCCCAAUGCCCAUUGCCACCACACCUAUGGCAGGCUCCUUCAGAGUUCCUGGGAGCAUUGUUCAUGUGAGCUUUACCUUUGUGGCGAUUCACAUUUUUAAAGCUCGGGCCUGAAUUAUGCCUCGGAACCUGGUUGUGAAACUGACCACCAUGGUUCUUGCCUUUCCUAUUCUAUCGACCUCGCUUGUGGCCACGUCCUCGUUUAUGAUUAUUGCCACCAGAGGAUGUGGCGUUCACUUCGAUGGAAGCAUUAUUCACUUCUGGGAAUGGUGCAGAUCUAGUAGGUCGAGAAUUAUGGUUUUUCAUUAUGAGCUUAUUGUUUUGUUCAACUACCAGGAGCACAGAUAUCAGCUGGUUGUAUUCAGUGUAGCCUCGUGCUCUAUACUGCUGCUGCAUGAGCACGUUAGAGACAUGAAAUGUGUUGAAAGUCUUUUCCAGCAAUAUUUCCUCAAUAAUAGUAUCCUCACAGAGCUUCAUCUGAGAUGUAAUUUUGAACAACGUAGAAUUGUACUCAGCCACUGACUUGAAAUCCUGGAUCCUUAGGUAAGUCCAUUCAUAGCGAGCUCUUGGAAGAAUCAUCGUUGUCUGGUGAUUGUAUCUGCUUCUCAAAGCCUGCCAGAGAGGUAACAGAUCUUCAACCGUUAAGUACUCACUCUUUAGUGCCUCAUCAAGAUGGCGACGAAUAAAAAUCAUAGCCUUCGCCCGUUCUUGAGAGAAUGAGUUGUUCUCUUCCCUGAUGGUAUCUCCAGGAUUCCCUGCUUCCAGAUGGAUCUUGGUAUCCAGUACCCAUGUAAGGUAAUUCUUCCCGGUAAUGUCCAGGACAACAUAUUCAAGCUUUGCCAAGUUCGCCAUUUUCUUUUCUGAAAGAAAAAUGAGAUGUGUAAGAACUUGCAACAAUAUGUAUUCCUGGAGAAAUAUAGUGUUAGAACUUCUGAUUCUUACAAUUUUUUUUUUCAUUUCGAUCUUCAGGCCAAAAUGAUAAGCACUCGAAACUUCUGGCUCAAGAUUUUCAGGGUGAAUAAGGAGGGUGAUUGUAUCGCACCAUUCUCAUUGAAAUAAUGUAACAUAGAAUGGACGAUUAUUCCACAUCACUCAAGUAGCAGGAAAAAUUUAAAUACGCAUAGCAGUGUGGGUGAUUAUAUCGCACCAUCUAAAAUUGCAAUGAAAUUAAACUGCAGGUAAAUUAAAUAUGCAGGGCAGGGCAGGGCGGGCGAUUAUACGCUCCACCUAAAAUUUGCAGUAAAAUAAAAUUUAUAAUUCAAGAUAGGCGAUGAUACCGCACCAUCUUGGAUUGCAGUAAGAUGAAAUUUGCAGUUCAAGAUGUGCGAUUGUACCGCACCAUUUUGGAUUGCAGUAAAAAUAAAUACUGGGUUAGUAAUCAAUAUCUAUACCAAACAAAAAAUCAAAGAUGUAUGUAACUGUUCGUUGGAGAACUAGAAGCAAGCAUGGAGCAAACAGUUCGUCGUGAGGGUAUACCACGCAAUUGAGGCAGAGGAAAAAGAUGAAGAGUAAAAACCUUAGAGGAAACAUUUUUUCUUUCGGCGAGAGGAAUGAGAAAUAGUUAUAUUUAGAGACUCGUGCUGAUAACGUGUUAUAAAUAUGUAAAAGUUAGAGGGAUAACCUUUUAGAUAGGUGCAAGGCAGAUGUAAAAUAUCACACUAAAACUAAAGCUCAAGUGAAUGACAAAUAAAAGAUAGAGGAAUGAAUGAUAUUAUUGAUCCUUUUGUUCUGAUCUGUAUUCUCUGUAUCUUCUCUCUGUAUAUACAUCGAUGGUAGUAGGAGUGCUUUAUUUAUAGAGCGAAUCCAUAUGACAAAUUCUUAAAGUUUGAAAUUUACAACAUUUUGUUUCCAAAGUCUUCAUCAUAUUUGUGUAGGUAUUGACAAAGAACUUAUGUGGGCAUUCAUCAGCUAAUGUUUUCAACUACCAAUAUUGACUGCCAAUGGUUUCAACAAGAAAAAGAUUUUAAGAAGAAAUUUAAAUAGAGCCAUGCCCUCUACAUAUUUAUUUUUACUUUUCACACGAACCCAUUUAAACCGGUGGAGAAAAUGGCAGUCACAAACGACCAAAUUUGUCAUGACGUUUUACUAAAUUAAAUUCCAACGUUAGUACUGUUACUAGGAGAUGCUUUUCAGGCUUUCAGCUUUGAAGCUGUUCAGUGAUCAGGCAAAUAAGUAGACCCACAAGCAAGACGGAACGGAACAUGUUUCACUACGCGACGAGUGAACACUGAACACUCAACUCAAUCCUUUCCGUAAUCAGUGGGGUUCGGAGCAGUUGCAAGGAUUUUUUAAUGUUAUCUUUUAAGAGUCAAGGGGUCAAAGUCUUUCUGGUGCUUGUCAGUGGGGAAGUUGAGAAGUCUUCCGGUCUCCAGUCAAGCAACGUGUACAUGGAUAGUUCCCACAAGUCUUCCAGUCUCCCAAAUUCCAAGUGAACAGGGGUGUUACUAUAUUGCAAACAAAGAAUUCUCAACCUCUACAAGUUAUCACUCUUGUUCUGAAUUAGAGGAGUAGAUCUUCUUAUUCUUCUUCCUUUGCGGCGCUUUCUUCUUGUUGAUCAGUUGGGAAUUCUCGGAUGGCUCCGGUGGCUUUGUUUAUUCUCUCCGUUCUUGCUCACCUUGUGGUUCUGCACUCUGCUGAAGCCAAACAUUGUCCAGUCCAAUUCUGCAGCUCAGCAGGCAACAUCAGCUUCCCCUUCAAAAGCACGGGAGAUCCUCCUGAAUGCGGAUUGUUCACAGUCGAUUGUUCAGACCCCGAACGGCCAAGAAUCCAAUUGAAAGGGGGAGGAUACUGGCAUGAAUUCCAAGGCUCUUUAGCGUCCACUUCGAUUUUUAUCAAAGACAGAGACCUUGCCGGCCGCUUAGAAAAGGAUCACUGCAACGACGGAGCUUUCGACGAAUUGAGUCUUCCCAGCGCUUCUCCUAUCCCUGGAGUAUCAUUAUCCACACUCAACCUUACCCUUAUCAAAUGCAACAUCUUGGACAAAACUUCUUCUCCACAACCUAAGGAUGGCUGCGGAAAUACUUACCAUACUUACUAUAUCAAUUCAUCUAACAAUAAUUUACCUAACCCUCUGCCACCAAGGUGUGAAACCAUGCAGGUCCCCAUGCGUCCGUCUCAACCCAACAUGUCCUCUUCAUUGACAGCUGAGUUUUACCUCCACGUGUCAGCACCAGAAUGUUUUCGAUGUACUGAAAGCAAAGGUGAAUGCCUGGUUCUAGAGGGAAAAUUUAAAUGCGCCAAAGGUAUACACAUUUACAUGACCUUUCUUUCUUUCUCUGACGUGCGAUAAUCUGAUUCCUUUAUUUAUGCCACUUCUAUUUUCUGUGAUUUAGCUAACAGCAGUUUUCUUUGCAAUUCAUGUUGCAGGAGAUAAGCAGUUGAAUUUGAAGCUAGGACUAGGUAAGAUUGUUAUCUCCGCAUUUAAAUAUCUAAUUGGUAUGCAUACUCAUCUAGGACAAGUGCUAGAACCAAAGGACGGAAAUCUGUCUUUCCCCAAUCCCUCUGGAUUAAUUUUCUAGGAAUCACGGAAUGAGCAAGCGUUUGAACAUGUUGGCAAAGUCCAUUUAUUGCUCUGCAUAACAUACCUUCAAUCAAAUUUAACUCUCCUUUAACAGUUGGUGCAGCCUCUGUUAUCGUCGUUCUAGUUGUUGUCUGCUGUUUCUUUUGGAAGAAGCGUAUCCAAAAACAUCAAAUUGUUGAGGCCUUUCUAAGGAGCUAUGGGCCGCUUCAAGUUCAAAGGCAUAGCUAUUCGGAGGUCAAGAAAAUGACCAACUCCUUCAAAGAAAAAUUAGGACAAGGAGGCUAUGGUGCUGUUUACAAAGGAAAAUUAAAGGACGGCCGUCUUGUAGCAGUGAAGGUCUUGACCAAACUAAAAGGAGAUGGAGAAGAAUUUAUGAAUGAAGUGGCAGCCAUUAGUCGAACUUCCCAUGUCAACAUCGUCUCCUUGUUGGGCUACUGUUUUGAGGGUUCGAAGAGGGCUCUGAUCUAUGAAUUCAUGCCUAAUGGAUCGCUCGAGAAGUUCAUAUUUGAUGCAAGUACUCCCAAGAAUGAUCAUCAUCACUUGGGAUGGGAAACUCUGGAUCAAAUUUCACUUGGUAUUGCUCAAGGAUUGGAGUACUUACAUCGUGGUUGCAACACACGAAUUUUGCAUUUCGACAUCAAGCCUCACAACAUUCUUCUCAGUGAAAAAUUCAUCCCAAAAAUCUCGGAUUUUGGCCUUGCCAAAAUAUGCAACAUGAACGAGAGCAUUGUGUCGAUGUUGGGAGCUAGAGGUACACCAGGUUACAUUGCUCCAGAAGUAUUUUCUAGAAACUUUGGAAAGGUCUCGCACAAGUCUGAUGUGUACAGCUACGGAAUGAUGCUUUCGAAGAUGGUUGGAGGAAAAAAGAACAUCGACACUGAAGCUGAAAAUACAAGUGAAAUAUAUUUUCCGCAUUGGAUUUACCAGCGUCUUGAACGGGACGAAGAGCUUGGUAUGCAGAGUGUUACAAACGAGGAAGACAAAGUAAGAGCGAGGAAGAUGAUCAUAGUGAGCUUGUGGUGUAUACAAACUGAUCCUUCAAAUCGGCCAUCGAUGAAGGAAGUGAUAGAUAUGUUGGAAGGGAGUGUUGAUUCGUUGCAUAUACCACCCAAGCCUUACUUGUCUUCUCUUCCAAAAUCCCCGGCAGAUUCGUCUUCUCCUCCAAAAUCCCCGGCAGAUUCUUCUACUACAUUGGUAUCAAUGCAGUAGAAACCCUGUAUUUUACUUGAACGAAUCUAUGCUUUCUGAGGCAAUCUAAAUAAUGAAGUAUGCAUUUCAUUUUUGUUUUGUUUUUUCUAUAUAUGAAUGAAUCAACACAGUAGGAGUGUCACUCCUACUACCCCUCCGGCAAUCAUAUAUAUAUAUAUAUAUAUAUAUAUUCAACACAAAAUGUGUGAAACAUUUGCAUUUCUGGCUCAGGCCAGUGGACUAGGAUAGUGUGCCCGCUUCAUGCAUCUUGUGAAGCCACGUGAUUCUAUUCUAACAAACAGUGAAGAGAAUUGAAGCUGUGUUGAAUUUCGGAGUUUUUGCAGCACCUUUAAAAAUGAGUGGAUAGGCCAUAGGCGGUACCCCAUUACUUGAAAAAUAACUCUAUGGUGAUGCUGGAUGAAUUUCCAAGUGACAAGCAUAUUGCAUAUGAUCAACUUAACCAAAAUUAUUGAUGCACGCCGCCAAUAUGAUUAAAAUAAAAUUCCGAUUUUAGACCUUAGCUUUUGAAAUGAACAAAAAAUGCGAUGUAACGGCAUAUGUCUGAUUCAAAAAUGAUUGGUUGAAUCCUAGAAAUACUAUUUGAUCGCCCAAAUCAUGUACCCUCUUCCAUGCCAUCCGGCUGAAAUCCAGUUUAUAUGCUUUGAAAUCAUGUGUUUCAAGAACAGCAUCAGGUUCGGGGCUAUAAAACCUAAAAACAAGUAGAAGCUCUCACAAGAUUCCACAAGAUACUUCAAUACACUGUAAUUUUCCUGCUCCUCGGACAUUUUUACUUAAUGGCUAUCUGUUUUUAUCUCAUGAUCAUCCUCUGUUCUGAUGGCAGCAAGCACAUUAGCAACCUUAAUCUUCAAAAUGCUAUAAUCACUGCUUAGAAGAUAGAAACUUCCAUCUGAGAAGACAGCGUCCUCAAACGGCUCACCGUCUAGCUUAUGUUUAAGCCAUGAUUGAGCUCCGCGGACCCAAAAUGCAAGCUCCCGGUGUUGACUAUGAACAAGCAUGCAAACAAGGUUUUCGACAGAAGGAAGCGCAGAGAGAACCAUCUUGUGAUAAAAAUUCCAUGUUUUGGGAAGAUUAGUUUUCUUCCUAGAGAAUGGAUUCAACAAACGAAUGUCAAGGUUUUAACAGUCGACUUCUUUCGCUAGAAUCAACCAAUCUUGAUAUGAUCCCCAACAGUAUCUUCCAAUAGCCUGAGGAAGCACUAUCUCCCAAUCUUGAUUCUGUAAUAUGCUAAGACAAGUCCACAAGUCCUUACAUGUCUGCCUCUGUGGCCAGAAGUCAUGAGCCACGGGACACCACGCCGUUGCCAACAAGAAAGUUCCUGUCCAAUAACGUUUCUCCAAGCUCUGCAAACAUCAUUAACAGAGAUACAAUCAAUCAGAGGCAGUCGCUCAAGGAUAAUCUCAAGUAUACCCUGAGCCAGCUCUUCCCAAUCCACAUUCGUAAACUUCUGCUUCUUCCGCCUUUUAUUUCUCCUUCAAUCCAUCAAAGCUCUAUGACUCUACAGAUAGCAAAUAAUAGUGUAAAUACAACGUCAAAAAAGUGUAAAAAUUACAGCACUAACAUUCAAAUUCAAUGCAUAACAGAUGUGGAUAGAAAGAUCAUACAUUUUGUGAAGGCAAAUAACUCCCUUGCUACCUUGUAACAUGCCUCUUAUUGAUAGGUUGAUAAAUGUGUUGACGUGUCAUGUUGUAAUUGGGUGUUGUAUAGAAGUAGUUAGAAGGGUUGAUUCUGUUGUAAGCUAUAAAUACCAUUGUGUAGUGUAAUUAUUGAUCAAGAAAUGAAAAAGGAUAUUCAAUUUCACUCUCUCUCUAGUUUGUUAAUUUUCUCACUCUACAAAUACUUUCUGGAAAUCUUUAGUGUUUACAUGGUAUCAUCGCCGAUCAUGGCCACGGCCAUCGAUUGACGACCUGGUGCUUCCGCUCGUCUUUUGUGCUUUUCGUGUCGUUCUGAAUUCUGUCGGUGGUUCGUUGCUUCAAGUCGGUCGCCUCUGUGAUUGUUGUCGGUGGUGUUCGAUCGCAGUCGGUGCAUGUCGGUCGCCUCUGUGAUUGUUGUCGGUGGUGUUCGAUCGCAGUCGGUGCUCAAACCCUAAGAUUUGGGGUUUUUAUGGUUGCUCGUCAGGUGUUUCUUCUUCUUUCUUACAUCUGCUCUUCGCGAUUCUUCGCUUUCUGCUUCGAUUUGGUCAUUGUAUCUUGUUCGAUUUCUUGUGCAUUGUUUUGCGAUCUUGUUCUUGUGCACCGUUUGCGAGUUUUCUACUGCCUGUUGCUGUGUGUGUUGUGCAAUCUCAAAAUUUUCGUGAAGUAAUCUUGAUUGUUCACAAUGGUUAAUCCAAAUCAAUCGGCUCUUACUCAAUCGCCAAUUUCUUCAUUGAUUCCAAGUGUGGGUAACACUGUGACAGUGAAGUUAGAUGAUUCUAACUAUGUUCCCUGGAAUUUCCAAAUGGAUCUUCUUUUGGAAGGGAAUGGUAUUAUGGGUUUUAUUGAUGGAUCCAUCUCCUGUCCUAAGAAGUUUGAGACUGAUAAAUCUAUCGAUGGUGCUGUUGACACUACUGAGGUUCUCUCUGAUGCGUACAAAAUAUGGAAGAUUCAUGAUAAAGCUCUUAUGACUCUUAUUGCUGCCACUUUAUCUACUUCUGCAUUGUCCUCUAUCAUUGGUUCUCAAAGUGCUAAGGAAAUGUGGGACAAUCUUCGUGAAAGGUUUGCUAGUGUUACUCGUACCAGCAUUGUGCAGUUGAAAAUUGAUUUGCAGAAUAUUAAAAAAGGGCCAGAGUCCAUUGAUCAAUACCUUCAACAGAUCAAGGAUUCUAGGGAUCAAUUGGCUGCUGUUGGAGUUACUAUUUCUGAUGAAGACAUUGUUAUUGUGGCUUUACGGGGCUUACCAUCUGAAUACAAUACUAUCAAAGCUGUUAUUCGUGGCCGAGAAAAUCUGGUAUCUUUAAAAGAACUCCGGUCCCAAUUAAAGGCUGAAGAAUCCACAUUGGCUGAGGUUCACAAGCAAAUUCCUCUAAUGUCUGCUAUGUAUGCUUAGGGUGCUUGAGCUACUUAUGAUUCAGGCCAAUCUUCGGGUCAUAAUGCCUUACAAGAUGAGACCUCUUUGCAUUUUUCCCCGAUGUCUAUGCCACCAAUGCCUAUGCCCAUGUCUAACUAUUCCUAACCAAUGCCUGUUCAGAUGCCUCUGCCUGGUUAUCUCCCGUGUGUUUUUCCCUCUCAAUAUGCUUCUGGUUCAUUUAACAACUUCAGAGGUUCUAAUAAUAAUUUCAAGUCCAAAGGCAAAGCAAACGUUUCUCCUAAGGUUCUCAGUCUUCCUCCCAGUCUCUGUAUGGUGCAAACAAUUCUCAGCAUUUGUUCCCUGCUCCAUUUCCGUCUGUUCCAGCAUAUAAUCCGUCUCAAAUUUGUCAAAUUUGCGAUAAGAAAGGGCAUUCUGCUCUCAAUUGCUUUUAGAAUGGGUGUCAAAUAUGUCACAGGAAAGGCCAUACUGCUGCUACUUGCUUUGACAUGAAUGCUUCCUCACAGUUUCAUAUGGCUGGUUCUUCCUCUCAUCCGAUGACUGUUCAUCCAUCAUUUCAGUUUUCUUCUGUUGGUGAUCCACCUAGCCCUUAUUUUCGUGGACCUCACAUUCAGCAACCUGUUUCUUAUCAAGCUUCUCAACCUGUAGCUAUGCAAGCCAGGGCCAACAUGACUCCAAGUGCACCUCCUCAAGAUUUUUGGCUGCUUGAUUCCGGUGCAACCAACCAUAUGACUUCCGAUAUUGCUAAUCUUUCAGCUGCAGUCCCUUAUCCGUCAACUGAGACAGUCACGAGUGCUGGUGGUGAAGGUUUAAGUAUUGCUCAUAUUGGCAACACUGUAUUUCCCACCAAAUCACAUACUUUUCAGCUUAAUUCUGUGCUACAUGUUCCGAAACUGUCUCAAGAUUUACUCUCCAUGUAUCAAUUAUGUAAAGAUAACAGUUGUCGCUGUAUUGUUGAUGAGUUUUCUAUUUGUAUACAGGACAAGGUCACAGGGCAAGUGUUGUAUCGAGGACUGAGUAACAAUGCAGUUUAUCCAAUUCCAGUUUUCAAGUAUUCCAGCUCAAAUGUGACUACUCCAGCUGCAUUUUUGGGUCAAAAUGUGUCUUCUGAUCUCUGACAUUGUAUAUUAGGCCAUCAUUCCAAUGCUAUUACCACUGCAGCCCUUAGGAAUUCAUCCAUUUAUGUUCCCUGUAAUAAAGAUUCCCUUACUUGUAUUUCUUGUUUACAAGGCAAGUUUUCCAAAUUACCUUUCCCUUGUAUUGCUUCAAAAUCUUUGGUUCCUUUUGAAGUCAUACACUCCGAUGUGUGGGGUCCUGCUCCAGUUGAGUCUUUAGAAGGGUUUCGGUAUUAUGUGUCCUUUGUGGAUGAAUGUACAAGAUAUACAUGGGUUUUCCCUAUUUUCAAUAAAUCUGCAGUUUUCUCUGUUUUUGCUCAGUUUGUUGCCUAUGUUCAAACUCAGUUUAAUGCUACUGUUAAAACACUUCAGAGUGAUGGUGGGGGUGAGUAUGUGGGCUUAGCUUUUCAAGCAUUUCUUAGAGAUAAGGGUAUUGUUCAUCAAAUGCCUUGUCCUUAUACCCCAGAACAAAAUGGGUUAGCUGAGCGAAAAAAUAGGCAUUUAUUGGAAACUGCUAUCACUUUACUUCAAAAAGCAUCCCUGCCUUCUUAUUUCUGGUUUCAUGCUUGUGCUACGGCUUCCUAUCUUAUUAAUAGGAUGCCGACUCCUGUUCUUAAAAUGAAAUCUCCCUUUGAACUUCUGUUUAAGUCUGUACCGAAGCUUGAUCACUUAAGAGUCUUUGGUUGUGCAUGUUUUCCUUUCUUGCGACCUUAUAGGAAUAACAAGUUAGAUCAAAAAACUACCGAGUGUAUAUUUUUGGGAUAUGCUUCUCAAUACAAGGGUUAUAUUUGUUUUUCUCUCAGUACUCAUAAACUCCUUGUGUCUAGACAUGUCAUAUUUGAUGAACAAAGCUUUCUUAGCAUCAGAUUAUCAUCUCCUUCAUCUCCUCCCAAGGCAUCAUAUUCUCCUCCGAAUCCGGUUGUUCAUCCUAAUACAUUUACACAUCCGUUCGUCAUACCUAUUCCUCUACCUCAAGUGUCACCAUCCUUGAGUUCUGGAACUUCAACCCCUGCUAUUACUCAGUCCACUUCUGCAUCAACAUACAACACUGGUGACCUUGUCUCUCCUCCCCUGUCUCCUACUCCUGGAUCGACUGCACAGUACUCUCCCUCUGGACCUGAUGGUCCUUCAGAUCUCCAUCCUGACACUACAUCUUCUCAAGUUGAUACACUGCAGGCUGUCCCAGUUUCCACACUUAACAGUCAUCCUAUGCAAACUAGAUUAAAAUCUGGUAUUGUGAAGAAGAAAGUUUUUCAGCCACGGUUGGUGAUGUUCUUCCUCUGACAGAACCUACUACUUAUUCCGCAGCGUCCAAGUGUGUGGAAUGGCACGCUGCCAUGAACGAAGAAAUGCAAGCCUUAGUUCAACAACAAACCUGGAAGCUUGUUCAUUUUCCUCCCAACAAGAACCUUGUAGGCUGCAAGUGGAUUUAUAAAAUUAAAAAGAAUGCUGAUGGUUCUGUUGCUCUGUAUAAGGCUCGGUUAGUUGCCAAAAGGUUCUCCCAAGAAGCCGGAAUGGACUAUUAUGAAACCUUUAGUCCUGUGGUUAAACCUACCACUGUGAGGUUGGUGUUGUCCUUGGCUGCUACAAAUGGUUGGAAAAUGAAACAGUUGGAUGUUCAGAAUGCCUUUCUUCAUGGCUUUCUUGAUGAAGAGUGUACAUGUCUCAACCACAAGGUUUCCUGGAUCCAAUCCAUCCUGAGUAUGUGUGUAAGUUGGAAAGGUCACUUUAUGGCCUUAAACAGGCUCCUCGAGCAUGGCAUGACAGAUUUUCCAAGUUCUUGCAUUCAAUUGGUUUCAAGUCUUCAUAUGCCGAUUCUUCCCUUUUUGUUCAAAAGGUUGGCAGCGAGGUAGUCAUACUUCUCCUCUAUGUUGAUGACAUCAUCCUCACAGGAAGCAAUGAGCAAUUGGUACAAUCUGUCAUACAUCAACUUACAUCGGAGUUUGAAAUGAAGGAUUUAGGUCUUCUGCAUUUUUUUCUUGGUCUGCAGGUUGAGUAUCAGUCUCAAGGGUUGUUGAUUCAUCAAACCAAGUAUAUCAAGGAUCUCUUACAGAAAGUUAACAUGGUUGAUUGUAAGCCUUGUCUUACUCCUUGUCAUCCCAAUCAAAAGUUGUUGAACCAUGACAGUCCUCCGUUUUCGGAUCCAACCUACUAUCGUAGUCUUGUUGGUGCCUUGCAGUACUUAACCUUCACUCGGCCUGAUAUAGCAUUCUCUGUUAAUCAGGUUUGUCAAUUUAUGCAUUCUCUUCUUGACCAACAUUUUGCAGCCGUAAAGAGAAUUUUGAGGUAUCUUAAAGGAUCCAUGCACUUCGGUUUGUGUUUUCGUUCUGGUCCUAUAUCUUUACGAGCCUACACCGAUGCGGAUUGGGCUGGUGAUCCCAAUGACAGGCGAUCCACUACUGGAUUUGUUAUUUUUCUGGGUUCUAAUCCUGUCUCCUGGAGCUCUAAAAAGGAGCAUACGGUUAGUCGAUCUUCCACUGAGGCUAAAUACAGGGCUAUGGCCACUACCACAGCUGAGGUUGUGUGGAUUCAACAACUCCUCAAGGAUUUACAGGUUUCUUGUCCUGAUCCACCGUUGUUGUACUGUGAUAAUAUUUCAGCAAUGGCACUUGCAACUAAUCCUAUCCUGCAUUCUAAGGCGAAGCAUAUAGAAAUUGACUGUCACUUUGUUCGGGAACGGGUUCAACAAGGUUCUAUUGUGUUGCAGUUUGUGGCCUCUACUGAUCAAUAUGCCGACAUCCUGACUAAAGGCUUAUGUUCUUCUCCAUUUCACUCUUUUUGUUCCAAUCUCAUGCUUGGCUGCUCCAAUCAUGGGAUUGAGGGGGGAUGAUAGGUUGAUAAAUGUGUUGACGUGUCAUGUUGUAAUUGAGUGUUGUAUAGAAGUAGUUAGAAGGGUUGAUUCUGUUGUAAGCUAUAAAUACCAUUGUGUAGUGUAAUUAUUGAUCAAGAAAUGAAAAAGGAUAUUCAGUUUCACUCUCUCUCUAGUUUGUUAAUUUUCUCACUCUACAAAUACUUUCUGGAAAUCUUUAAUGUUUACACUUAUCAGUUCAAAAUCAAAUUAGAAAAACUUUCUACAUAAUCUUUAAAUGUUUACAGGUACAUCUCAAAAAUUGGGAUGCCAUUGUUUGUACAGUAGUAGUAAUUGUUCCUCGGAGUCUAGCACUGGACGCAAACAAAUAAAAUGAUUCCCGAACAAAUACAAGCACAGACACAAACAAUCAAAACCUGAAUUAGAAUAACAAAAUGAUUGCCAAGAGAUAAAAUCGUUAGGUCCCAACUCGAAGAGAAUGCAAGCUUUUAUAUUUUAUAAGAGAUCUCUGCAAGAAGGAUGCUGUAUAUUAUCAACAUUCUCAAUUUCUGAGUUAAACCCAUUACUUUAGUAAAGAAGGCUUUUCAAUUGCAUUGUUCAUAUGAACAGUGUUUGAAGCCGAAUUUCACUUUUUUUACAAAAUUGCCACCGCCUCUUCAGUGCUGUUCAGAUUGGAAUUUUUAUUUAUUUACGAAAUUGCCACCGCACUGUGGACGCGUCAAUCAUCGUGCAAUUUCUUCCUCUCUCAUCAGGUAUCUCACUCUCAUUUCAUUUCAUCAUCUCUCCAGGAAAAAAGUUAAAACCUGGCCACUCAAAUUUCUCUCAACCCGAGCCGUCCCUCAUCUUUCUUCACUCCUCUUUCCUCUUCUCUCGACAGUAGCACUCGAUCAUGUUAUGAUCACAACUCAAAACCUUAACUCAGACCUGCAAGUAUGUAACAAUGGAGGAUAGAGGAAUACAGAGAAGAGCUAGAGAGAGAAGAGUUUUUUUUUUAAUAUAUUUCUUUUGAAUAUUCGUUCUGCCUUUUCUUUCACAAGUGGCUACAUAUAUGGUUCCCCAAAACUCUCAAAGCUAGCUGGAAUGACUAAUUACAAAACAACUUCUUAUUUAAUUGCUAAAAUAUGAUUAAGAUAAUCACAAUUAUAACAUUACCUCGCCCUUCAAUUAAACCUUGUCCUCAAGGUUGCUGUUAAAACUUGAAUCCUGGAAAUUUUGCAGUGAACUCAUCAUAAUCUUCCCAAGUAGAUUCUUUAACGUUCUUGUCCUUCCACUGAAUAAGCAGUUGAACCCCAGCUGCAUUGUUCUUCUUGUAGACCCUUCUUUGUAGUACUGCCAAAGGUUCUUGAGCUUGUAGUCCAUCAUCAAUCACUAGUGGUAAUAGUGGCACAAGAUUAACAUUAGGAUCCACAUGUUUCUUCAAGCAACUGAUAUGGAAGACGGGAUGUAUCUUGGAGGUCUCAGGAAGCUUUAGCUUGUAAGCCACACUACCAACUUUCUCUAAUACUUCAAAGGGCCCAUAGAACUUUGGGUAAAGUUUGUGGAAUGCAUGAGUUGCUAAUAACUGCAGCUGGUAGGGAAUAAGCUUCAAGUAGACCCAAUCUCCCACCUCAAAUGUUCUCUCACUUCUAUUUUUAUCCACAUGUACCUUCAUUCUGUUUUGAGCAAUGAUCAGAUUGGUUUUGAGCAUUGUCAACAUUUUGUCUCUUGCCAUCAGUCCUUGUUCAACACUCUCCAGUUUAGCAGAACCAAGCUCAUAAGAGGCAAUGUGUGAAGGAGGGUAGCCAUAUACAAUUUCGAAAUGUGUGAACUUGGACGCAGUGUGAAAUGAAGUGUUGUAACUCCAUUCAGCCCAAGGAAGCCAUUGGAGUAACUUCUUGGGUUGGCAGCUAGUGAAGCAUCUCAGAUAGGUUUCUAAACAUCUGUUGACAACCCCCGUCUGUCCAUUACUUUGUGGAUGAUAACCUGAACUCAUGCAUAACUUUGAUCUUUGUAGUCUAAAAAACUCCCUCCAAAAGGCACUAAGGAAAAUAGGAUCCCUGUCACUCACUAUGGUCAUUGGCAUGCCAUGCAACUUGAAAAUGUUUUCCACAAAUUCUUGUGCUACCAUGCUAGCAGUAUAUGGGUGCCCCAAUGCUAUGAAAUGCCCAUACUUAGAGAGCCUAUCCACCACCACUAGAACGACUGACUUCCCCUUGCAUGGAGGCAAUCCACAGAUGAAAUCCAUACUUAUAUUUAUCCAGGCUUGCUGUGGAAUUGGAAGAGGCUGCAGUAACCCAGGUGGUGAUAUUGUUUCAUACUUAUUCUGUUAACAAGCCCUGCAUUCAGCCACCCAAGCUUUUAUAUAUUUUUUCAUCCCAACCCAAUAAAAGCCUUUUUUCAAUCUUUGGUACGUCUUCAAUACCCCUUCAUGACCUGCUGUGGGAGUAGAGUGAUGCUCCUAAAAAACUUUUCUCCUCCAGUUAGAAUCAACUCCCAAUACAAUCCUAUGCUUGCAUUUCAAGAAGCCAUUAUCCAGGUGAUACUUAGUAGCAGUGAUAGUAGUUCUAGGAUCUUAACCUUGUACCGCUACUUCUUGUUUCUUUGAUCUAACCCACGGAUCCUGUUCCAAAUCUCUCCUGAGGUCAUCCAACCACCCAAAAUAGGGAUAAGUAACAGCCAGUAAUUCUCCCUUCUCCUCUAAAGGUAGCUCAGAAAGGGGUGGUGACCCUAGAACCCGAGAAAGAGCAUCUGCCACAAUGUUUUCCUUACCAUGUCUAUAUUGCACCUUAUAAUCAAAUCCCAACAGUUUGGACACCCAUUUCUGUUGGAAUGGGGUGUUGGUUCUUUGACUCAAGAAAUAUUUCAGACUGUUAUGGUCUGUUUUGAUAAUGAAAUGACGCCCUUGUAAGUAGUUUUGCCAUUUUUUUUACUGCAUAAACAAUGGCAAUUAGCUCCCUUUCAUAAGUAGACAAUGCCUGAUUUCUUGGACCUAAAGCUUGGCUGACAAAGGCAAUAGGCCUCCCAUGCUGCUGCAAAACUGCUCCAAUACCUAAACCCGAAGCAUCACACUCAACUAUAAAUGGUUCUGCAAAGUUGGGUAGGGCUAGCAAUUGGGGUGAAUUCAUGGCUUACUUCAAUUUCUGGAAUGCUGCCUCAGUUGCUUCUGACCACAUGAACCCCUCACUUCCAGUGAGUUUGUACAAGGGCAGGCAGAUUUUGCCAUAUCCAGGUACAAAUUUUCUGUAGUAACCUGUUAACCCCAAAAAUCCCCUUAACACCUUCACAUUCUUAGGAGCAGGCCACUCCAAUAUAGCUUGGAUUUUUGCAGGAUCCGCAAAGACUCCCUCACAAGAUACUAUAUGGCCAAGGUAUUCCACCUGGUGCUGCCCAAAAGAACACUUUUGUUUCUUAGGUGGUAUCUGAUGUGGACAGUCACAUCAUCUAAAUUAAUUAACAUUUAAUUUCAAAAUGUUAAUUAAUAAAAAGAUUGUUAAUUAAAUGAUGAUUGUGGUAUACGAUGAGUCUUCUUCUUCCACCUAAGAUUAUUUAAGUGUUUUAAUUAAUAAAAAGAUUGAAAUUAAAUUAUGUAGCUUGUCCAACUCAUCUGCCACCUAAGAUGAUAAAGAAAUGUGGUAUAAAAUUGUGGUAAGAAUAGCAUUAUUCUAUUAUUAGUGCGGGAUCCUCUUUGCAUGUAUUGUCAUUUCGCCCUAUUUUCGGGGCAUUGGCUUUUCCUUUUUGGGAUUAUCAAAUAUCUGCUUUGAUAGUAAACAAGGAACCCAGAUCCUCUCCGAAUCCAAAAUCUGAGCUAAGGAUCAAGUGAUCUGGGCCGUUGAAAUUUAAUCAAACGGCUACAAUUACUAUAACUUUAAAGGGAUCCCCCAUGUUUGUAGCCGUUUGAUCAAAUUUUAACGGCCCAAAUCACUUGGUCCUUAGGCUCAGUUUUUAGGGAUCCGGAGAGAAUCUGGGUUCAUAAACAAGAUCGCAGUUAGUAAGUCACAUCCUAGUCUCGACUCCGCCGUAACACGUUAUUGUCCGCUUUGGGCCACGCCUUCACGGUUCUUUUCUUGGGAACUCACACAAGAACUUCCCAGGAGGUCACCCAUCCUAGAAAUGUUAUCGCCCAAACUCGCUUAACUUCGAAGUUCUCAUGGAAUCCGUAGCCGGUGAGUCGCCAAAAGGUCUCGUGCUAUAUGGAAGUGGGCAUGUAUAUAUAAGGCACAUCACCUUCUCUCCGUUGGUCGAUGUGGGAUGUUACAAUCCACCCCCUUAGGGGUCCAACGUUCUCGUCGGCACACUCACACCACACGACAUAGUGGCUUUGAUACCAUUUUGUCACAUCCUAAUCUCGACUCCGCCGUAGCACGAUAUUUUCCGCUUUGAGCCACGCCCUCACAAUUUUGUUAUUGGGAACUCACACGAGAACUUCCCAGGAGGUCAUCCAUCCUAGAAAUGCUCUCGCUCGCACUCACUUAACUUCGGAGUUCUCAUGAGAUCCAUAGCCAGUGAGUCCCCAAAAAACCUCGUGCUAUAUGGAGGUAGGUAUGUACAUAUAAGGCACAUUACCCCAUCUCCGUUGGUCGAUGUGGGAUGUUAGUAUGUAUAAAGUUGAAAUAUCAGUGUCAGUUAGUGUAAUAUAUAAUGAUUUUAUUUUUCAUUUGUAAUUGAGAAAUUUUAAGUUUUAAUCUCAUAAAUAGUAAGUUCGAUAUCAAUUAAUUUUUUCACCUCUUAAUGUAAAUAUAUCGUUGUAUAAAAAAACAAAUUUGAAAUAUUAGCUUUCCUUUGUUGGGUUUAUGAAUUAUCAUCAUCGGCGCAUAUCUUCUUGAUUAAAUCUUCUAUAUAUCUAAUCACUUUAAUACAUCGUUUAAUUGUAAGUACAUGUUUUAACGCUCGACAUUCUAGUAUAUAGUUAGACCAGCCGGUCAAAGAAGCAUGCUCAUCUCCUUACAUUUAAAUUUGAAUCAAUUUUUUCUUUUAUAAAUUACAGUACUCAGAAAACUCACUCGUGUUUUGUAAUAUUAUCUUCAUUAUUUUUUGUUAUGUCCUCAUUUUCCUUUUUCUUUCUUUUUAAAAGUGAGCAAUCAUAAAUCCACUAUACAAGCGUGAUUUUUAACUUUUCAUUUUGGUCCGUUAGUAUAAACAAAGAUUAAUUAUCAUCACUAAUCCUCCUUUGUCUCGUCGUGUCUCAAGCCAAAUUUUCAUUCCAAGAUUCAAAACGAAUUGUCUUGUCAUUUAGUAACGCCUAUUUCUUUUUCUCAUGAAAAAAACCAAGUCAAGACCCGUGUCAUGUACCAUAGUGUGUAAGCUAUAAAGUCCAUUCCUUGUCGCACUCUCGUUUUCUCCUAAGAAGUGCCGUUUGGUCCACGGAUUAGAUCAUACUAGAAAACAGUGCUCGUGUUGCUGCGGGAUUAAAAAUUGUAAGAAAGAUUGUUUCAUAAAAAAUUGUGACAUAGAAGAUUAAUAUUAUUUACAUUGAAAACGUUAGGAAGAUGUUUACAUACAAAAAAAAAAAAGGAUUACGAAUGGAACAUGAAAAGUUUUCAUCCUGUACUGUUGGUUGAGGUAGCAGAAGAUGAUGGCACAUGAACUGAGCUAGUAAAAGUUGUAUUCAACACAAAUAAAAUAUCAAACACGGUUUAUUUUCUUUCAUUUGAAAUCAUAUGGUGUUGCGUUUACUGCAAUAAAAAAAAAAGGUGAAAACACUUCAAGUUAUGACAGAGGUUCAAUUAGCAAAAGCUACAACCCAGUGAGAGUAUGAGUUUAUAUAUUAGAUUCACUCACAUAGAUUAGAUUCUCUCCCUGCCGGCCUCACCAUUUUUAAUCAUUUUCUCUCCCUGCAUCUAAUUUUUUUUUAUAAACUUUUAUAGUUUGUCGUGCCACACAUCAUGUGACCGGUUUUAAUUCACAUUUUUUUCAAAAGACACAACCCAAAUAGAGGGUGACUGGAUGAUGGACGCGUGGAGUGAAUGGAUAAAACAGUAAUUCGACGGUACAAAUGUGGAAACAUCAAGAGAAACAGGUCAAAAUUUGAGGGGUAUUUCCGUCUUUUUACUAUUUAUGAACCGUGCUAAAACUCAAUGAGUUUUAAAAUAUAUAAUUUGAAAAGCCGGCAGAUUAGAUCGUAUUCUGAAGGCCGGAAAUUCAUUUGUUGAAGAACCAAAAGCUCACUCAUUUAAUUUUCCAAACACCAAAUUUAGAAACCUUGUGGUUUUGUUACGUACUUGGUAUGAGUUAUUUCACCCUAAUUUUAUCCGUACUUGUUUUUCCACUACUCACCAUCCAUGCAUCAAAUCACUGCAACCAAUCGUGCCCGAGUUUCGGUCCCAGCCCGAUUCAGUACCCUUUCGGGUUCUCAUCGGGCUGCGAAAUCCAGCUUAACUGCACUCCAAACAGAGGAUUCGCAAUCGGGCGGUUUCCAAUCCAGUCCAUAACCCAGGAGAGCAUAAGAAUCAAUCUCUAGAGCCGUUGCAACCGCCCCCUCCACACCCUCCGCCACCUCUACAGCCGGAAUUACGCCCCGACGUCACGGAACGCGAUUCUUUUACAGAACUGUACGGAUGGGAAGCCGUCGAGCAGCUGCGAGAUUCCCAACAUUCUGGUGCAGGCGCGGUUCGACGCGCCGCCCAACUGCAGCGCCAACAGCAGCCUCAGCUGUUACGCUGAGACCAGAAAGGAUGUCCAAUUUUUGAACUUUGGGAGCGUCAAGCAGAAGGACUGCAAAUUCUUGCUGUCAUCGAUGUCGUCGCCGUCGCCACAACUUUUGAAUACCUCGGCGCCGUCGUUGCUGGAGCUGGAAGUGGUGGAGUUAGAGUGGUGGCUUGAGGGAACUUGCGGGUGUGAUAAGAACGCCUAUUGUACGACGGUCGUAUCGCCAAAUGGGACAGAAGGGUAUAGAUGCAACUGCAAGGAGGGUUUUGGUGGAGAUGGAUACGUUGCUGGGUUAGGCUGCAGGAAAGGUAAUUACUGAUUACAUCUGCUUAAUUACUAACUGAUUACUUCUGCUUAAUUACUUAUCCUUCUUGCUCAUUUGAUCAUUCUUUUUCAACUCAUCCAUGGUGAAUCAUGGAUGUAUCAAAAGUAAAAUAGAGGAACUGUUUGGUUAUAGGUGUAAGGUUAAAGUUGGUUACUUGGUUAUAGGCAUAGAGAGAGUUUAAAAUGACAGAUGGCUUUGAUUUGAUUGAGGAUCCAAGUAUUUUCCUCUUUUUUUUUUUUCUCUUCUAACCCCAUCUUUUUUUUUGUGGCUUAUUAACCGAGUUCUCUUUUUAUUUUAUUUUAUUUUUAAAUUCUUGUAUUAAUUUUUUAUUUUCUCGUUUAAGACAUUCAUUAUAUUUAUCUUAAAUUAUCACAUUAUUUAUAAAUAUUGUAUUAUUUUUUAAAAACAAUAUAAAUAUUGUUUAAUGCUUAUUUUACGAUAAUUUAAAUCUAUCUAGCAUCCUGCCUAGAUCUCGCUUAGGCACUCCAGUUCGUUGUUUGAUUAGCGCCUAACAUUUUUUAGGAUCUAAUCCUGACCAAUUUAAGCUUCUUACAUUGACUUUGAUAUUAUUGCUUACAACUGCUUUGGUUGAGAGAUUAUUUUCUGCUAUGAAUAUUGACUCAAAAUUUUAUACUCUCCAAUGUAAAAGCAACUGCUUCGAUUGAACCUUGCACUCUUUUGAAUUUCGUCUCUCCCCUCUGUAAAUCCUGGCUUUGCCACUGGAUAACACAAUCUUAGAGUCUAAGUCUCCUUCACUUUUAUGACAGUCACAAAGGAUCAAAUUCGACAUGACGUCAUGACGUUUUACUAAAUUAAAUUCCAACGUUAGUACUACUACCAAGAGAUGCUUUUCAGCUAUGAAGCUGUUCAGUGCUCACACAAAUGGACUUGGAUUGUCUGCCCUCUAAUUUUGGUACCCUCUUCGUGCCCUCCUGUUUUUGUGGUCACGGUUAAGCCACGUCAACAUUUUAUAUUAAUAUUUUUUUUUGUUUUAUUAUUUUUAUAAAAAAAUAAUAUAAAAUAUUAAGUGGCUUAACCGUGACCACACAAAACAGAAUGGCACGGGGAGGGCACCGAAAUGGGAGGGCAGAGAAUCCAAGUCCCACACAAAUAAGUCUUUGUGGUGCUUGUCAGUGGGGAAGUUGAGAAGGAAACUCCCCUAAUAGGCCAUGGAAGUCUUUUAAGUCGAGCAACAAUUACAUGGAUAGUUCCCACUAGUCUUCCAGUCUCCCAAAUUCCAAGUCAACAGGGGUGUUACUAUAUUGCAAACAAUGAAUUCCGAACCUCUAAACGAUUCAACACUCUUUUUUUUUUUUUUGAGUGAAAGGCAUAGUUUAUUGCCGACAAAAAACCGAAGUUACAAACCAGAACUUACACAGCCAAGGCCCCAAACGAAAUAUACAACAAAAAGGUGGGCCUUCCGGACAAAGCGGUCUGAGCCUAACCAAGAGAUUAGGCCCAAAAACAUAAACAGACUAAAAGAAAUAGAAAACCCUAGUCUACUGCAACUCCCGCCGCCGCAGCACCUCUCGAUCAUCAUGUUCCAUGAAACCCAACGAAUGCCAUAGAUUCGACCAACCGACGCCUCAGAGGUUGAAGUAAGGAAGAUGCCAUCAUCCAUCAAAGAAGACCUCUCCGAUUGCAGCCACCAAGUAGAAACAACAACGAAGGAAGCUAGUGGGAUCUCCACUUGCGACACUGCCAACAAAGGCAGAAGGAGGUGGUGCGAACACCCGAGCCGGUGGGAACACCGGAGCUCUACACACCUUCUCGAUAUACCGCAACAGAUUGCGGUUGAAAGUGAUGGCGAAUCGGCUAAGGUAAGGUAUUGAUGAAAGAUGGAACCAAAUUAGAAGGAACAAAACGAAUUGAAAAAGGAUGGAGAAGGAAAGAGUGAUUAUUAGGACAUCGGCUAAUAGGAUCGACAGCAUGUGGGGUGGAAAGAACAAACAGAGGGAAAGGAGAACUGGGCCAGAACAGGAGCAGGAGGUAAGGGAGAGAACAGCAAAACACAGAAAGAAAAGACUGCCACCGACCCUAGCCAUAGCUAAGGCCGGCGGCUAAAUGGAAAACAGGAUCUGGAAACCCUCACACAAAGGGGGGAAGAAGAACUCUCACUCACGGAGAGAAAGGCUCUCACUUACGGAGAGAAAAAGUCCGGCUUUUUUAACAAUUCAACACUCUUUGGUCUGAAGAGGAAGAGUAGAUUUUCUUAUUGUUCUUCCUUUGCGGCGCUUUCUUCUUGUUGAUCAGCUCGGAAUUUUCGGAUGGCUCCGGUGGCUUUGUUUAUUCUCGCCAUUCUUGCUCACCUUGUGGUUCUGCACUCUGCUGAAUAUUCAGCAGAGGAACCCGCCAAACUUUGUCCAGUCCACUUCUGCAGUAGCUCAGCAGGCAACAUCAGCUUCCCCUUCAAAAGGCGGGAAGAUCCUCCUGAAUGUGGAUUGUUCACAGUCGAUUGUUCAGUACCCACUCGGACAACGAUCCAAUUGAAAGAGGGAGGAUACUGGUAUGAAUUCCAAGGCCCUUUAUCAACUACGUUUUUUAUCAACGACAAAGACCUUGCCGACCACUUAGAAAAAAAUCACUGCAAUGACGGAGUUUUGGACGACUUGAGUCUUCCCAGGGCUUCUCCAAUCCCUGAAGUAUCAUUAUUCACACACACACUGACCCUUUUCAAAUGCAGCACCACCUUAGACAAAAAUUCUUUUCCACAACUUAACGAUGCCUGCAGAGAUGCUUCCCAUACUUAUUAUGUGGCUUCAUCUUACAGUAGUUUGCCUAGCUCCCCGCCGCCAGGGUGUGCAACCAUUCAGGUCCCCAUACUUCCGUCUCCGCCUCAACCCAUCACGUUGUCUUCAUUGACUGCUGAGUUUUCCCUCGAAGUGGAAGCACGAAAAUGUUAUCAAUGUCGUGAAAGAAAAGGUGAAUGCCUGGUUGAAUAUGGAAAAUAUAAAUGCACCGCCAGAAAAAGGUAUAUACAUUUACAUGACCUUUUUUUCAUUCUCUGACGUGCGAGAAUCCAAUUCCUUUCUUCAAAGGAUAUAACUCUUAGAAACAGGAAACAGUUUAUCGAAAUGCCCAAGUAUUAAAUGAUUGUCAUGUAUGCAUUAUCCUCUCUUUUUUUGUUGGGUAACAUUAUUUAUGCCACUUCCAUCUUGUGUGAUUUAGCUAACAACCGUUUUCUUUGCAGUUCAUAUUGCCGGAGAUACGCAGUUGAAAUUGAAGCUAGGACUAGGUAAGAUUGAUAUCUCUACAUUUAAAUAUCUAAUUGAUAUGCAUACUCAUCUAGGACAAGUGCUAGAACCAAAGGACGGAAAUCAAUCAUUCCCCAAUCCCUCUGGAUUAAUUUUCUUAUAAUCACGGAAGCAAGCGUUUAAACACGUUGGCAAAGUCCAUUGAUUGCUCUGCAUAACAUACCUUUGAUCAAAUUUAACUCUCCUUGAAGCAACAGCGGUAUAAACUGCAUUGUAACCGUCUCUCUAAUUGUAUUCUUUAGGAAUUGGCCUUGGGUUUUCUACACUUCUUGCAAUAUGCAUAUUUCUUCUCUUGCUUUGCAAACAAAAACGCUCAGGUUUAUGUUACCGUCGUCCUAGUUGUCUGCUGUUUCUUUUGGAAAGGGUGAAUCCAAAACAUCAAAUUGUUGAGGCCUUUCUAAGGAGCUAUGGGCAGCUUCAAGCUCAAAGGCAUAGCUAUUCGGAGGUCAAGAAAAUGACCAACUCCUUCAAAGAAAAGUUAGGACAAGGAGGCUAUGGUGCUGUUUACAAAGGAAAGUUAAAGGACGGCCGUCUUGUAGCAGUGAAGGUCUUGACCAAACUUAAAGGAGACGGAGAAGAAUUUAUGAAUGAAGUGGCAGCCAUUAGUCGAACUUCCCAUGUCAACAUCGUCUCCUUGUUGGGCUACUGUUUUGAACAUUCGAAGGGGGCUCUGAUCUAUGAAUUCAUGCCUAAUGGAUCGCUCGAGAAGUUCAUAUUUGAUGCAAGUACUCCCAAGAAUGAUCAUCAUCACUUGGGAUGGGAAACUCUGGAUCAAAUUUCACUUGGUAUUGCUCGAGGAUUGGAGUACUUACAUCGUGGUUGCAACACACGAAUUUUGCAUUUUGACAUCAAGCCUCACAACAUUCUUCUCAGUGAAAAGUUCACCCCAAAAAUCUCAGAUUUUGGCCUUGCCAAAAUAUGCAACAAGAACGAGAGCAUUGUGUCGAUGUUGGGAGCUAGAGGUACAGCAGGUUACAUUGCUCCUGAAGUAUUUUCUAGAAACUUUGGAAAGGUUUCACACAAGUCUGAUGUGUACAGCUACGGAAUGAUGCUUUCAGAAAUGGUUGGAGGAAGAAGGAACAUCGACACUGAAGUUGAAAAUACAAGUGAAAUAUAUUUUCCGCAUUGGAUUUACCAACGUCUUGAACGGAACGCAGAGCUUGGUCUACGGAGUGUUACGAACGAGGAAGACAAAGUAAGAGCGAGGAAGAUGAUCAUAGUGAGCUUGUGGUGCAUACAAACUGAUCCUUCAAACCGGCCAGCGAUGAAGGAAGUGAUAGAUAUGUUGGAAGGGAGUGUUGAUUCGUUGCAGAUACCACCCAAGCCUUACUUGUCUUCUCCUCCAAAAUCCCAGGCAGAUUCUUCUACUACAUUGGUAUCAAUACAAUAGAAACCCUGUAUUUUACUUGAACGAAUAUGUGCUUUCUGAGGCAAUCUAAAUAAUGAAGUAUGCAUUUCAUUUUUGUUUUUUUUGUUUUUUUCUGUAUAUGAAUGAAUCAACACAGUAGGAGUGUCACUCCUACUACCGCUCCGGCAAUCAUAUAUAUAUUCAACACAAAAUGUGUGAAACAUGUAAGAAUAUUUUAAUGACAUGCAUGCAUAUGAUAUGUAGGAUUCAAUGUAAGAAUAUUGUAAUAUUCUUAAGUAUUCCGCAUGACAUGUAUAUGAUAUUUAAUAAGGAAAACUAAUGAAAAGAGCUUGAAAACUUUGAGUUUUAAUGAUAAGGACAAAAUAAAGGGUAAAGUGAAUAGUACUAUGAUUGACUUUUUAGUGUAAAAAUGUGGUUUUCGUUAAAGUGAACAGUAGCAAGUGUUUUUCGUUAAAGUUCCCUAUUUAAUAUUCUAAAAUGGUCCACAUGACACGUAUAUGAUAAUAAUCCCACUGGUCAAAUUAUGAGAAAUGUUUCCUAUUGAAUUUUUGUGAUGGAUGGUAAUUGAUUAUGUACUUUGAAUGGAAACGGGUCCUCUCUCUCUCUGCCUCACUUAUAUAUAUUGCAUAAACCCAUCUAAUAUGCAUUUGAUAGUCGAAAAACACGAUUAAGGUUUUUACGUGCAAAUAGAGGCAAGAGAGAGCACCUAUUUCCUCCGCCGCUGACAGAAUAGAAUCUGAUUGGGGAUCUCAUAGCGUUCGUUGUCAUGGAUCAAGGUACGCUUGGUUGAUUAAUGUAUUUUUCCGCAUUUUAUUUGCAUGUGAAAAUCAUGAAGUUCGAUGAUCUUAGCUUAAUUGAUUUAUAAUUUACAUGUGGUAUCAGAGCCUAGUUGAGAGCUCUCAUGAUUUUCCAUUUACGAUUAUGAACUUUAAUUGAAUCGACUUGAUCAAGGUUUUGCUUCGAAAUAAAUUAUGAUCCGAUGUGCUAUUUUGAAAUAACCUAAUCGCUGUUUUGAAUUGUGAAUGUUCUUUAUAUAUUGUAAUUGCACUCAGAAAUAAUAUUUUCCUUAUGGUGCUGUUGCUUAUUAUCAAUUGUGAUAUUUGAUCAUUACGAUUAUAAACGUCAUUCAUUUAAUUUGUAAUUCGUCUUACGAAAUUGUUUGUUAGUCACCAAAGUGGCCAAACUAGAAAGAUCACAUGGAUUCAAAUUAAAUGAUGAUUAAUCAAUUACUCAUGGAAGGAUGAUGCAUAUGAACGAACAAAAUCUUAUUAUGUUUUAAGGGGGCGUUUGUUGCGCCGAACUAUCUCGGACUAGACUAGCUUCAAUGACUAAGCCGGACUGGCUUAGACUAGACAAAGCUGGACUAAUAUAGUAAAGCGUUUGGUGCAGUUUUGGACUAAGAAGUUGGAUAAUGACAAUAUUUUAUUAUGAUCUAGGUGACCGGAGAUGACGAGAAGUUUAUCGGGAGUGGUUGUUGAGCAUGACGAGGACGAGAGAUGAUAGUCUUAGCUAGUCCCAUGGUUAUUGGGGGGUCUUGCUAAGACCUCUUAGAGAAGGGUUUUGUCCAUGCUAGUCCCCUUUAGUCUCAUUUGUCCAUGCUAGUCCCCUUUAGUCUCAUUAAUGUUAGUCCCAGUAUGGAACAAACGCAGUAUUAGACUAACAGCUAGUCCAGUCCAGUCCAGUCCAGUCCCACUUAGUGAGGGCAAACAAACGCCCCCUAAAGGUUUGUACAUGAGUAAUAUGAUUUUCAUUUGUCAUAAGUUCUUAAGGGUCACCAAAAGGUUGACUAAUUGCUCAUAUGAUUGAUAAUAUGAAUGUGGUGAGAAUUGUACAUUUCAUUUUAUUGGUUUCGGAUAUCCAAAGAUAACGAAACCUGUCUUGUUAGAGAUGUACAAUUAUCAAUAAGGUAUUAUGCAUGGAUGAUUGUUUGUAUUGUUGUAGUAUCUACCCAAAGGAGAAUAUGAUAAUACACUUAUUGUUAUUACACGUGUUUUUAUAUUACUCAAAGCAUUAAUGUUGUGAGCACUUUUGAAUUGAAGUGUCAGUGCCUAUUUCUCUUCAUUCACUUGCUUCAUCUAUUCUCUCACUUAAUGGAACAAAUUUCUCAGAUUGGAGUGAGCAAGUUCAGUUUCACCUUGGUGUCCUAAAUCUUGAUUUAGCACUCCGAACUAAUAAACCUGUUGCUCUUACGAAUACAAGCAGCAUUGAGGAAAAAUCUCUCUAUAAUGCCUGGGAGAGAUCGAAUAGAUUGAGCAUAAUGUUUAUGCGAAUGACUGUAGUGAGCAACAUAAAGACUGGCCUUCCUCAAGCUGAAACUGCUAAGGAAUACUUGAAAAAUAUUGAGACUCGUUUCAAGACUGCUGACAAGUCUCUUGCUGGGACAUUAAUGGCUGAGCUUACCACCAAGAAAUUUGAUGGUAUGCGAAGUAUGCAUGAGCAUGUCCUUGAAAUGACUAAUAUAGCAGCAAAGCUAAAGACUCUUGGAAUGAAUGUGGAUGACUAUUUUCUUGUUCAAUUUAUUUUGAACCCCUUGCCUCCUCAGCAUGGGCCAUUUCAAAUCAACUAUGGUGCUAUUAAGGACAAAUGGAAUGUUGAUGAAUUGGCCGCUAAACUUGUUCAAGAGGAGGGAAAGCUUAAGCAGCAAGGAGAGCAUUCUGUUCAUUUAGUAAGGCAAGGAGCUGAAAGAAAAUUUGGAAGAAAGCCUAGAAAGGGAAAGAAAAUAGGACCACCCAAGGUGAAUGGACUUGCUAUGCUACUCAGGCUCAUGAUAAGGAACAGAAAAGUGAUUUAUGUCACUUCUGUAGGAAGCCUGGGCAUUAUCAAAGGAAUUGUCAAAAAUUCAAAGAAUGGUUCGAAAAGAAAGGUGAGCCUUUGGCUUAUGUAAGUUUCGAACCAUAUUUAACUGAAAGUUCCUUAUAAUACUUGGUGGGUUGACUCUGGUGCUACGACUCCUAUUUCAAAUUCGAUGAAGGGAUUCCUUACGACCCAAACUUUAAAUCCAUAAAAUUUCAUUUUCAUGGGGAAUCGAGUCAAAGCUCUAGUUGAAGCUAUUGGAACCUUUCGUUUAAUUUUGGAUACUAGAUAUUGUUUGGAUUUAUUUCAGACACUUUAUGUUCCUAGUUGUUCCAGAAAUUUGGUUUCAGUUUUGAAGCUUGACCAUAAUGGUUUUUUUUUAUUUUUAUAAAGUUUGGUAAUGAAUGUUUCAGUUUAUAUAAGAAUACCUCUUUUGUUGGUUCUGGUAUUCUAAUAGGUGAGCUGUAUAAUUUAAAGCUCAAUAAUCGUUUUGCUAAAACACUUUUGAUCUUGCAUCAUAAUGUUGGAACUAAGCGUUGCCUAAAUAAUGAAAAUUCUUCAUUCUUGUGGCAUAAAUGACUGGGUCAUAUAUCCAGAGAAAGGUUAGAAAGAUUAGUAAAGAAUGAGAUUCAUAUGCAAUUUAAGGUGAUUUCAUUCAUGUGUAAUCAAGUUCUGUUUUUAAUUUUUUCUUCUUUUGAUAUGUGAAUGUUGAUUGUCAAAGAACUAAAGGUUGCUAGGUUGGUGAAAAUCUGAAAAUUGACCCAAUUUUGUAUAAUAUAUUAGUUUAAGAACAAUAAACAUACAAGCCCACACACACACACACACACAUAUGCACUCCAAAAGUAAACGAGUUGGAAAUGUUUCGUAAUAUUUUCCUCUGAAUCUUCUUUAGCAUGCAUAAGAUUUACCAUUUCCUUUUAAAUAACUUUUAAAAUCAGCUCUAGUCCAUGUUUGCUUAACAAUGUUGUAUCAUUAUAUAAUUUCACAAAGUUUGUGCAUAAUUCUUGCUGAACUUGGUUUGCUUUUCUUUAAUUUAGGUAUGGAGUGAGCAAAUCACGGUUCGACCAAGUCUUCAACGAUGAAUUGAGUCAGAUCAUUAAGGUCUCUCUACGUUUGUUAUAUUUGUUUGGUUUUUUAUUUCUAUAGUUAUAGAUAUUGUUAGUAUGCAUUUGGUUUGGCUUGAUUGGGGUAUAGGAUGAAUUUAAAUAGUACUGAUUUUUAUUAUUUUUUCCCCCUCCAGCUACCAGUUUGUUGUUUGGCACUGUAAAUGUACAAUCGGAAAAAAAACUAGGGUCAACAACGUGCUUCAACUGUGCUUGCAUUGGCAUUUGUAAUCCUCAAUACUUGACUCAAACUUAGAUCAUGAAGAUAAUGAAGUUGCAUAAUCUUUUAUUCAGUUUUCAAUCCCGCAAUAACGUGCGGGCACAAGUUUCUAGUAUUGUCUGGGUUGGGUAGGCUCAAUAUGGGCCUCUAAAACGGGUCAUGUAGCGGUCCAGUUUAGCCGGUUUACUUUUUCAAUUUUUUGUUUGGGAUGAGUAGCCCAGCUUACUUUCUAAAUAACAAAAAAACCCAAUGUACUAUUUAUUUAAAGUAAAAUAGAAAAAGAUUUUAGGAAGAAAUUUAAAUGGAGCCGUGCCCUCUACAUACUUAUUUUUACUUCUCACACGAUCAUGUUUACUACUUAACCAUCAAAACCGGUAGAGAAAAUGGCAGUCACAAACGACCAAAUUCGUCAUGACGUUUUACUAAAUUAAAUUCUAACGUUAGUACUGUUACUAGGAGAUGCUUUUCAGCUAUGAAGCUGUUCAGUGCUCAGACAAAUUAGACUCGCAAGCAAGACGGAACGGAACAUGUUUCACUGCGCGACGAGAGAACACUGAACACUCAAUCGUUUCCGUAAUCUGUGUGGUUCAGAGGAGUUGCAAGGAUUUUUUAAUGUUAUCUUUGAAGAGUCAAGGGGUCAAAGUCUUUCUGAUGCUUGUCAGUGGGGAAGUUGAGAAGGAAACUCCCCUAAUAGGCCAUGCAAGUCUUUUAAGUCGAGCAACAUUUACAUGGUUAGUUCCCACAAGUCUUCCAGUCUCCCAAAUUCCAAGUCAACAGGGGUGCUAAUACAUUGCAAACAAAGAAUUCUGAACCUCUAAACAAUUCAACACUUGUUCUGAAGAGGAGGAGUAGAUUUUCUUAUUGUUCUUCCUUUGCGGCGCUUUCUUCUUGUUGAUCAGCUCGGAAUUUUCGGAUGGCUCCGGUGGCUUUGUUUAUUCUCGCCAUUCUUGCUCACCUUGUGGUUCUGCACUCUGCUGAAGCCAUACAUUGUCCAGUCCAGUUCUGCAGCUCAGCAGGCAACAUCAGCUUCCCCUUCAAAAGCAUGGGAUAUCCUCCUGAAUGCGGAUUGUUCACAGUUGAUUGUUCAGAACCCGAUCGGCCAAAAAUCCAAUUGGAAGAGGGAGGAUACUGGCAUGAAUUUGGAGGCUCUUUAUUAUCAACUUCGAUUUGGAUCGAAGAUAGAGACCUUGCCGACCGCUUAGAAAAGGAUCGCUGCAACGACGGACUUUUCGACGACUUGAGUCUUCCCAGGGCUUCUCCAAUCCCUGAAGUAUCAUUAUCCACACCCAAUCUUACCCUUUUCAAAUGCAACACCACCUUAGACAAAAAUUCUUAUCCACAACUUAUUUAUGGCUGCGGAAAUGCUAACCAUACUUAUUAUAUCAAUUCAUCUAACGGUAAUUUACCUAACCCUCUGCCACCAAGGUGUCAAACCAUUCAGGUCCCCAUGCGUCCGUCUCAACCGACCAUGUCCUCUUCAUUGACAGCUGAGUUUUAUCUCCAGGUGUCAGCACAAGAAUGUUUUCAAUGCAUUGAAAGCAAAGGUGAAUGCCUGGUUCUCGAGGGAAAAUUUAAAUGCGCCAAGGGUAUAUACAUUUACAUGACCUUUCUUUCUUUCUUUCUCUGACGUGCGAUAAUCCGAUUCCUUUCUUCAAAGGAUAUAACUCUGAGAAACAGCAAACAGUUUAUUGAAACACACAAGUAUUAAAUGAUUGUUAUGUAUGCAUUAGCCUCCUUUGUUUUGAAUGGUAACAUUAUUUAUGCCACUUUCAUCUUCUGUGAUUUAGCUAACAGCAGUUUUCUUUGCAAUUUAUGUUGCAGGAGAUAAGCAGUUUGAAAUUGAAGCUAGGACUAGGUAAGAUUGAUAUCUCUACAUUUAAAUAUCUAAUUGGUAUGCAUACUCAUCUAGGACAAGUGCUAGAACCAAAGGACGGAAAUCAAUCAUUCCCCAAUCCCUCUGGAUUAAUUUUCUAAGAAUCACGGAAUGAGCAAGCAUUUAAACACGUUGGCAAGGUCCAUUGAUUGCUCUGCAUAACAAACCUUCAAUCAAAUUUAACUCGCCUUUAACAGUUGGUGCAGCUUCUGUUAUCGUCGUUCUAGUUGUUGUCUGCUGUUUCUUUUGGAAGAAGCGUAUCCAAAAACAUCAAAUUGUUGAGGCCUUUCUAAGGAGCUAUGGGCCGCUUCAAGUUCAAAGGCAUAGCUAUUCGGAGGUCAAGAAAAUGACCAACUCCUUCAAAGAAAAAUUAGGACAAGGAGGCUAUGGUGCUGUUUAUAAAGGAAAGUUAAAGGACGGCCGUCUUGUAGCAGUGAAGGUCUUGACCAAACUUAAAGGAGAUGGAGAAGAAUUUAUGAAUGAAGUGGCAGCCAUUAGUCGAACUUCCCAUGUCAACAUCGUCUCCUUGUUGGGCUACUGUUUUGAGCAUUCUAAGAGGGCUCUGAUCUAUGAAUUCAUGCCUAAUGGAUCGCUCGAGAAGUUCAUAUUUAAUGCAAGUACUCCCAAGAAUGAUCAUCAUCACUUGGGAUGGGAACCUCUAUAUCAAAUUUCACUCGGUAUUGCUCAAGGAUUGGAGUACUUACAUCGUGGUUGCAACACACGAAUUUUGCAUUUCGACAUCAAGCCUCAUAACAUUCUUCUUGACGAAAACUUCAGCCCAAAAAUCUCAGAUUUUGGCCUUGCCAAAAUAUGCAACAGGAAAGAGAGUAUUGUGUCGAUGUUGGGAGCUAGAGGUACAGCAGGUUACAUUGCUCCAGAAGUAUUUUGUAGAAACUUUGGAGGGGUCUCACACAAGUCUGAUGUGUACAGCUACGGAAUGAUGCUUUCGGAAAUCGUUGGUGGAAGAAGGAACAUCGACGUUGAAGCUGAAAAUACAAGUGAAAUAUAUUUUCCGCAUUGGAUUUACAAGCGCCUUGAAUUGGAUGAAGAGCUUGGUGUGCAGAAUGUUAUGAACGAGGAAGACAAAGUAAGAGCAAGGAAGAUGAUCAUAGUGAGCUUGUGGUGCAUCCAAACUGAUCCUUCAAACCGGCCAGCGAUGAGGGAAGUGAUAGAUAUGUUGGAAGGGAGUGUUGACUCGUUGCAGAUACCACCCAAGCCUUACUUGUCUUCUCCUCCAAAAUCCCCGUUAGAUUCUUCUACUACAUUGAUAUCAAUACAGUAGAAACCCUGUAUUUUACUUGAACAAAUAUAUGUUUUUCUGAGGCAAUCUAAAUAAUGAAGUAUGUAUUUCAUUUUUGUUUUGUUUAUUUCUGUACAUGAAUCAAUGAAUCAACACAGUAGGAGUGACCCUCUUACUACCACUCCUGCAAUCAUUAUAUGUUCAACACAGUUACAAACGCUUUAAUCAAUCCAAUUUGGGAAAACUCAAAGAUGGCCGGGAAGUUGCAGUCAAGUUCUUAUACAAACACAAUUACAAACGCAGUGAACACUUCAUGAAUGAAAUUGAAAUCCCUUACCGGUCUUUGCCACAAAAUCUUAGUCUCCCUUUAUGGCUGCACCUCACGCCGCAGCCGCGAACUCCUCCUUGUCUACGAAUACAUUUCCAAUGGAGCCGUUGCUGAUCAUCUCCACGAAGACAGAGCAGACCCUGGCUCACUCACUUGGCCUAUUCAUAUGAACAUUGCCAUAGAAACCGCCAACACAUUGUCCUACCUCCAUGCUUCUGAAAUUGUACAUCGUGAUGUGAAGACUACCAACAUUCCGCUCGACGGCAACUUCUGCGUUAAUGUUGCAGAUUAUGGGCUCUCCGGUCUCUUCCCCAUUGAUGUCACGCAUGUCUCAAUCGCUCCACAAGGGACACCAGGAUGCGUUGAUCCAGAGCAUCACCAGUGUUACCAGCUAACUAGCAAGAGUGAUGUUUAUAGUUUCGGAGUUGUUCUCAUGGAGCUCAUAUCAUCUCUUCCGGCAGUUGAUAUAAUGAGGCAUAGGCACGAAGUUAUUCUACCCCGGCCAUAAGCAAAUUUCAAAAAGGUUUGUUCAAAGAGUUGGUAGAUCAACUUCUUGGGUUCAUAUUUUAUACAUAUAGUUUUGAUCUUCUAGCGUUUUGGCGCUUCCUACUUGUUUGAUGUCUAUAUCUUUUUCCUUCUCUUUUUUCUGCUUCUUGUGAUAUCGUUUAUCAACCAAUUUGAAUUAUAUGACAUGAUCAAACACCUUCUUCACCGGAAAGUAAAACGGACAUAAAUGACAAAAGUUUUAGAUUUAUACAGUUUUAUAUCAUUCUAAUUUAUACGAAAAGAGUUCAAACUUGAGUACUCUGGCGUAAUCCAUGUCUGAUUAUGUUAAAAUAUUAGAACUACUAUUUCAUCAAUCAUUUAUUUAAUACUUCUAAAUUUGAAUUUUUCAUAUGUUUGUUUGGUUACCAAAAAAAUAAAAUAAAAAAUAAAAUCACAUUGUGGUGGUGAGGGUUAGGUAAUGACAACGUUGUUGUACUUGUUCAAGAACCUUGGGUGCAGGCUAACAACGUGGAAAAUGGAGUUUGAAAUCUAGGCCACCUAAUUUGGAGGCUAUUUAUUUUAACUUUUUUACACGAUGAAAUUUGUUCACAUGGAAUAUCGCUAGUGUUAUUAUCAAGGGUACUGUUAGAAAGAUUAGAUUGUAGACAAAAUUUACAAAUUAAGAGAUUUGUCAUCAAUAAGAAUGUGCAUAUCAACAUUUAAGUUAUAACCUCAUUAUCAACUUCCAUAUCAUUUAGUUUACAAAUUUAAUCUUCCUAACAUUACCCUAUUAUCAAUUAAUCUUUACGAAAUCUCUUAUUAAUGGAUGAAUUUUUUUGUAGAAAACAUGAGCCACUAUACCAAAUGUUACAAUUUCUCCUAUUAAUGUUUAAAGUUUAAAAGAAAUUUAUCAACCACUUAUAUAUUGACACUUAAUAUGCGGGCUCGUGCAGACUAAAAAAAUUUAUCCUAUUAUUGGUUGAAACUGACCUUUCAAUCUUCUUCAGUCAAAGAAUGAGGUGUUGUCUCUUUUUCAGAACCCUAUAUAGAUUUUCAGAUUUUUGGAAUUUCACUUGGAAAAUGCACCCACUCUCUCUCUUCUCUCUCCUCUCUCACCCCCUCUCUCCCCUCUCUCCCCUCUCUCUCCUCUCUUUGAAUUAGUGAAAAACGAGAAGAAAAAAAACCCAGUCACUAUUUGGUCUAAUUUAUAAGUGUGUGUAUAAAAAAGAUGCAUCCACCUCCCAACAUAUCCUUUUCUCUAUUUCACAAGCAAUCAAUCGUGUCUCAGUUUCUCCCCUGCAAUCAUUCACCAUUUUAAAUUCAAAUAUUCACCCCCAACAAUUCACAUGUAUAUAUAGAGAGAGGAAUGGGAGUUAGCAGCAGCAACAGGCCUCAAAUCCAAAAGAUGGGGACUUUACAGAAAUUCAAGCUCCUCGCCACGCAGUGCGGCGUGGCCCAGAGCCCGACGCGAAGCCCGCGGUCGAGCCCCUUGAUCCAGCUCCCCCGCCGCAAACCCACUUUGCUCAUGCUCCUGACCCGGAGCAGCAGUCGCCGCCGUGACCCGCCGGUUCCGAUGCCACUACCGGAAGAGCUUCCGGUUCAGAGGAACAGUUUGAAGGACUUGUUUGUGUCGUCGCCGCCAUUUGAGUUGAACGACGGGAGGAAGGCGGAGAGUGAGAGAGAUAAGCGAGCAGAGUUCGGUAGUUUGGGGGCGGUGGGUAAAGAAAUUGGUGGAUUUGGACCGGGCUCGCCUAGGCCGGCCUGGACCGGUUUCCGUUACAAGUCGUUAAUGAGAAGGGCUUGGCGCCCUGUGCUCGUCACUAUUCCCGAGUAAAUUACAACAACAAAGCUUUAGUCCAGUAAGUGGCAUUGGCGGUAUAAAUCUUAGAAUGAUUUGCGCGGUAUAAAUCUUAGAAUGAUUUGCGAUCAAGUCUUCCGUUAACUCUAAGUACUUUUGUUUUCGUAAACUAAUAUUUGGAAAAUAUUAUUAGAAGUUCUUUGUUGUACGUUAUGUCAUCAAUCGUCUCUCACGAUCUUGGUCCAAAUAUACUAAUACAAAUCGAUUUCGUAUUGCAUUGUAUAAUUUGUAGUUACCGGCAUUGAAUUUGUAGUUAAAAGCGUUUAUCAAACAUUCGACGUUAUGGUUUCAUGACUUACAUAGUGCAUUUGAACUCGUGAGAAACUUGGAACCUCUUCCAAUAUUAAACAGAGGGAAUGCAUCAAGUCAGAGCCGGUUGGUUUCGAGAAUCAAAGAAAAAUCCUACUUUGAAUAGAAACAGCUUCCGAAGAAACAGAGGGAUCCACGGAAGACGAUCCUUCCCUUAUUUCGGAAGAAACAGAGGUAGAACCAUUACCAUUCUUUUGAGGUUCCUUUCUAAAGUUAAAGUGGCUAAGGCCCAGGACCAUGACUGUUGGGAGAACAGUUAACACCACACAUGCUAAAGCAACAAUUCUUCCCUUUGGGACUAAAAAGGACAAAGAAUAAGGCGUGCUUUAUUACACCACCAAACCUCAAGCUUCCUCUGUUGGAAAUAAAAGCACAACUUUUGCAAAUUCUUAUCUUAUUACAACCCGAUUCAAAUCCAACAUCAUUUCGGAUCUAUACUUUUUGCAUCAAAGAGCUCAAAACAAACUACUCGAGACCUAAUUUCAUGACGUACAUUUUGAACGAAGAAAGAAAGGUUACAAUAAGGGAACUAACUUUUUUCCCUUUCAAAUGGAAAAAUUUCUUACAGUCAAAUGGUAAAUUCAAAAAAAGGGUGGAUUCCUUCAAUGUCUUGCCGUUAGCGGGUCUUUGUUUCCAAGAGGAAGUGGAGUCCUCUGAUUUGUUUGGGCUUGUGCUUGCCGCAAUGCAGAGUCAUUCCCCUCUCUCUCGGUGCCUCCAUUUCCCUUCUGAGGUUCGGCGUGGCCAUCAGACUUAGGGUGGCCACCUGAGUGCUCGUUUUCUGUAAGUACAACCCUCCGCAAGAACCUAUCUAUCAUCUCGUAGCUGGUAAAUGUAAUAACGGCAGAAGGAGUGGUUCUUAGUAGAUUAGUAGCACAACCAUUAUAGAAUCCACGAAGGCCUUCCUUUUGGAACACCUUCUUCAUACAGUCAAUAACUCCUGCGUACUGGGGUUCAAUAUGUCUCGCCUGCCCUUGCUCUUGCAGCCUCGAGCGCACAACCUAGAGAUAAUUAAUUCAGUCAAGACAAUAAAAUAAAAUAUGAGAAAGAUAGAGAGACACGACUCUUAAGUUAUAAGCAGUCAUCCAAGCCCCAAUCCGUUUACUGAGAAGUCCAGCUGAACAUACCUCGUGAGGGUAUGUUAUUACAGAAGCGAUUACUUUUGAUACUGAUGAAGCAAAGGCAACUCUACUAGGGUGUAACUUAUCAACAGUUGUAUUAUCUGAAAAUUAUAUUUACGGGGUCAGAUCUAAUUAAUUAAUUAGAAAACGCUGAAUUUUCAAGUAAAACAGUUCAUCAAAGAAGUAAAAAUAUAACGUUUACCCCUUUUUGCCAUGAAAGACUUUAUCUUUUCAUAAGCAGGAAAUUGAAUUGCAACAUGACUUAUGCCAGCCAACGAAGGCAAGAUCCCACUGUUUGAAACCACACAUGCAAACAAAAACAUAUCAUUAAGGGAAACGACGCGGAUAGAUUAAAUAUCAAUUGAACAGACUCCUUUCACCGAAUGAAAAAAAAAAUCGAUUUAAGCAAAUAUGAAAUUCACAGUUUAGUGUCAUAUGAUGUAACUCGGAAGAAAAAUGACCUAUAUAAACCUCGCAAGCCUUCCUCAGUUGCAAUCCUUGAGAAAGCAGAUCUCAUGCUUUUGUAAGGAAUCACACCAGGCCUCAUUCCUUGUGUCUAAAUGAAGUUGAUCAAGAAGAAUAUAUCAAUGUACAAAAAUGACAAAAAGUUCAAACGAGGAAAAUUAAUUAGUGUGAAGUCCUUGAAUUUUCUAAAUCCAUGAAUGUUGACUUUAAGUCAGAAACUAACAUGUAAUUAUGUGGAAGAGAUUCAUUAGCCUGGUUAGACAUUGGUUAAGCAUCAACCCCAAGAAUAAAACAUGCCCAGACAUUUCUUAGAAACCCGUAAGCUCUAAAGGACCAUCUCUAGCAAAUAUGUGUUUGCAUAGUUGAACUAAUACUUUCUUUUAUUUUCAUUCGAUGCACAGUUUACUUUCUCCCCACAUCUCAAGUCAAGGACAUGAUAAUUACGGAGAGUUUGUGUCGCAUCCAGGAAAAAAAACAAUGUUCUCAGUCCCAAUCCAACAGAAUGCCAUAAAAAUAACAGGUCAUUGUUCCCCAUGUUUCAAUAUCUUCUAGUACUUUAUAAUUGAUAUGCCAUUCUAUUUUGCAAUUUAAAUAUACCAAUACAAUUAUGUUUGUGUUUUAAGUAUAAGUAGACAUAUAUUUAUAUAUUAUAUAAUAAAUUUAAUUAAAAUUAAAAAAAACUAGGCCCCCGCCUAGACGCCUAGGCGCUAGGCCCCUGCCCGCCGACCGACUAGCUUCUAGCACUUUUUAGAACCUUGUGCAACACAAAGAAGCAUUUGCUAUUGCAAAACAAAUACAAAAUCCCGGAACUGAAAUUAACUUAGAGCUACACAACCCUGAAUUACGACAGCUGCAUGCUUUAAAGGGCAUAUGUAUGUGUGAGUAGUGAAUACUGACCACUCCAAUAAAAUUAUGAAUUUUUUUAACAUGAAAUAAGCAUGUGGGCUAGCAGAAAAUGAGAUGGAAUCACAGAUUCCCUUUACAUGAGAAUAUAUGUAUUACUACAUUUUAAAUGAAUUACAAACACAAAAACAGUAAACUUACUUGAAGUCUGGUCUUAACAACCCACAAUGGAUUUGUUGAAAUGGCUGUGGCAGCCCCGGCACCAGCAGCAGCAAUCAUAUUUUCACCAAUUGUGAGUUCUCCGAUGCCAUGAACUACAGUAUGACCAUAGUGAAUGUUUAAAAGUAACUAGCUGAAUGCUAUUAAAUAGUCCUUAAACCUCUAAACUAAAUCAAGAAUAUAGGAAUACCAGGCGUUUCAUAAGAAAUAAUUAGAGACAAACACAGACUUUUAAGCCACAUUUGGAAAAACCAACCAUGAGUGUGGAGUAGGCCUUUGAGUUGCUCAUAAACUGUGAAGUACACCUGCGUACAAACAGAGUGCAUAUGGCACCAGGAGAAUUACAAAAAGUAUAUAGGUAAAAAAGUUGCAUGUGAUCUGACCGAGGGCCUCAAAUCCUUGUGAAAUCAAGUUUCCACAAGAUAAAGGCUCCCAAAGAUUUAUUUCACAAUAUAAGGCAACAAAAGUAAUACUCACUGCCCAGUUUGGAAGUAGCGCUAGAAUUGUAGGUGAAAGGCCCCGGUACAUCCCCUUCACACCUUCAGUCUUUAAUAUUUUUUGUAGGCUUGUGACAAUGAUACUACCUGAUCAUAGGCCAAAAGGAAAACAAAGAAGAACAGUCAUACUGAUAUGCAUGCAGUAUGCAGUGCGAACCAUAUAUACUACAAAUUAAUAGAUCGACUCAAAUUUGUCCUCGAAAUGGCCAUGAGCCAAAUAAAAAAAUUUAUAGAACAAACACAAAGCCCCCUGAAGCCGGUUCACCAAUUAACAAGAAAUGUGGCAUACAUUUGGUCAAUGCAUAUUUUCUCGUUUAUACAAAUACAGAGAGUUCACAAAACCGAAACUUUAACCAGACUACGAUUCCAUUUCCACCUAAACAUGUGCUCCCAUAGUCCCAAUGAAUCUAAGAUCGUCAAAAAUCGAUACUUGCAUUCGAUAAGUUCCUUAAAAAUAACAAAAACACAGAAUUUCAUCCAAGUAUUGAUAAACAAAACAUAAUUUGUUCAAAGGAAUAUAAAGCUUCGACUCUGUAAAUUGAAGAAUACCUCUUUGCCCAGAAGGCAUGCCAUGGACCUGCAGCCUAGUCUUGAUGACAUCCAAGGGGCAUACAAACGUAGCCGCAAUAGCACCUGCAAAGCUUACAAUUCAAUCAAUUUGCAAUAAAUUCAUCAGAUUUCCAAAUGCGUCCCCAGAUGAACGAAACCCUAGGAAUGGGAAUGGGGAAGACACUGACCAGCGGAGGCGCCAGCACCGGCGUGGCAGAUGACAUCUCUGAUAGUUUGGCGAUCGGAAUGUUCGGCCACAACACCCAUCGUAGUCGAAUCCUCUCUAGUCUAUCUCUAGAGCUGGUUCUUCAAAUCAAAGGUAAAUUUCAUGGCCAAUCGCAGUGUGUGUAUAUAUACAUAUACAUAUAUGUAUAUAUACUGAUUUGAUAGAGAGGGAGAGAUUCGGGGUCGGAAGUUUGAAGGACUGUGGAGCGCCAGUAUUCUGGACCCACGAGGUCGUCGUCGUCGUCGCCUGAACUUGUUUGAAGGGGUUUAAGCGGUGAAAAAGGACGUGUCAGGUACGCAGAGCUCAGCUUCGGAUUUGGAAUUUGGAAAGGGGAAAUGACCCGGAAACGGAAUCCGUCGAGGGAAGGAAACUCGAAAACUACCAAAACGGCUAUUUUCUCUCUGUUACAAGUAAAUUUCUCCCCAAAAAUGUGUAGGUGGGUUUCUUUCCACGUUAAUUAAACUCAAUUUCUGCCUAAUCGCUAAUCAAUGUGAUAAACAUUUCUCUUCAAAAUGUGUUAAUACAUUUACGACCACCCGGCCGUCACCGCUACAGUUCGGUAAUAUUUGUAUGAAGAAAAAGUUUUUUUUGGAGUCUAACGAUCCAAACUGCUAAUUUUUUAGAUUUUUCUUUAAAGAUCACGUCAAUUGUAAAUCAUUCAAAUAUGAAACCAUAUGAUUGUUGUGUUAAGAGUUUAGGGUUCUAUUAGAACCAUAUUUAUCCAUUUUUUUCACUACAAAUAAAAGUCAUAAUGGUUUUGAAUUUGUCUAACUUUUUUGAACAAUAAUCUAUGAAUAAUGUUAUAAAAAUAGACAGUUCAGAUCGUUAAAAUAGAUUAUGAAAUUAGCUCUACAAAACCAUAUAUCAAAAGUUGUAUAACAAAAGUGGUGUCAAAUAGGUUUAAUAUUUAAUAUAAAACCAAGGGCACUAAUUCAAUUCACAUUUUAGAUUCUCCUUAGGGCUGGUUUGGUAUUGCUGUGCUUUGAAAAAAAACUGCUGUGAGAAUAAGCGGUUGUGCUGUGAGAAUAAGCGGCUGUGAAAUAAAUCAGCAGAGUGUUUGGUAAACUUUUUUGUAAAAGUGCUUUUGGAAAAAAAAAAGCAGUCUAAUAGUGGGUCUUUUCAUUAAAGAAGCACUGUAGCUCCGUGUGCUUUGAAAAAAACCAGUUUUCUAAAGCUACAAAUAGCAGCUUCAGCUUUUUCCUUUGAUUUCAGCUUAUUCUCACAGCAGCUUCCAAAAUAAGCCCUUUUUUUUUCAGUUUACCAAACACCUAAAACCCUCACAGCUUUUUUUCAUGGGUGCUUUUUUUUUAAGCACCUCACUCCCAAACUAGGUCUUACUCUCCUUACAUUUUUUUUCCUUAUAUAUUGCAAUAUACCUUCCUCCUAAGCCCUAAACACAUGCAUAGUAUUUGUAGAGUUUGCUAGUGUAAAUUUUAUGAAAACAAAAUUUCAUUUUUAAGUACAGAAAAGUUUAUAUUACUCUAACCAACUUAGUUGCGCUUAAUAGUAUUAUUUUUUUUAAAUUUAAAAGUUGUGCUCUGACUUGUGAGAGACAAAUAUGUAAAAAAGUUUGUUUGUUUUGUUUGUUUUUUUAUUUUUGUAUACGGUGAGGUAGCCAAUGGUGGAUUUCAUCGCUCAGACAAAUUCUUGUGUCUACUUUGGCCUGCUUGACGAGGAGAGAGAGUUCAAUAGAUUUAACUAUUUCAAUUGCGUUUAUAAAAAAUUCAAAAAAUAAAAAUGUGCCUUUAAUUUGACAAUGUCGCAUAUUUUGUGUGUACAUUGAAACAAGAAGCUUGUUGGACUUUUCUACUUCUCUUGGGGUCCAAAGUCGUCGAGUAAGAGAGGCCCAACUAAUUCAGCCCAGAGUGCACCUUUGGCAUAUUACCUUUCCCGAAAAGCAUAUAUGCUAAAUUUACAUAAGAAUAGGAGAACAACUUAUAUGAUACAAAUACAACGUCUUUAGCGUCCUGAGUAAAUUGUACAAUGUUAUGUUAAAAAAACUCAAUAUUAUAUUAUCUCAUUGGCACGAAAAAGGUUAUGGUUGGUGGGCUUAAAACCAUCACAAAAAAGGCCCUGCAAGAUAAAUUAAUGUCUUGGGCAUCUUUCAUCAAAGAUAUCAUGAUUUCCGGGGCCCAGGACUGUACGCAGUGGUUUUCUGACCAUCGUACGUGGGGAUGAGCAUGGCACAUUGGCAAUGCGUGUAGGGCCCAGAUAGCCCCAUUAUCCCAGCCUGUACUUGCCCAGGGAUCAGGAUCCUCUCCUGAGCAAAGGGUGUGGAUCCUCCUAACCAAGCCCAUCAGGCCGUUGAAAUUUUAUCCAACGGCUAUAAACAGGGAGCCCCUUUAAAAGUUAUAAUAAUUGUAGUCGUUGGAUAAAAUUUCAACGGCCCGAUGGGAUUGGUCAGGAAGAUCAUCACCCUUUGCUUAGGAGAGGAUCUGAUCCCUUGCCCAGUUGCUCAAAACCAAUAAAGAUUAUGUUUUUAAUUUUAUUUUCUAAAAAUAUAACCCUCAAAGGCAGAACAGUAUGUGGAUGUGGAGAAAUUUUUCGAUGCCAAGAACACGGUUCGGUAUACUAAACAUCAUAAUACAAUUGGUAGAAUUUUGUUUUUAAAAUUUCUAACUAAUUGUACUAUGAAACUUAAUAUACAACAGUAUUAAGCCGUAUUUCUUUUUUUAAAAAGGGGACAAUUGGUACUUGGCCGUAUUUUCGGUACACUAAAAAAUCUACGAUGAAUGUGGAUGAUGGAUCCAACGCACUUACUGGAAGAUUCCCAAAAAUCUCAGUUUAGAAAGAGGUAGUUGAAGUUGUUCUUCUCCUAAUCAAGAAGAAAAAGGUAUAAAGAAGAACUUUGCAGAAUUGUCUGACUAGGGCAAUUCUCAGAUUGAAUAAAAUUUGUACGAGUUCAUACAAGACUAAAGUAUAUAAAUUUUCACGCAUUUGUAAAGUUACUUACGAAUAACGUGAUCGACAACGCUUACUAUAAGUUUUUUUUCCCAUUUAUCAAUUAUCAAUUGGGUACUCGGUACAAUUUCCUUCAUUUCUCAUGCGAUGCAACACUUAGCAGAGAUGCCUAUUAAAACCUUUACCAGACGCAUCCGUUCCAACUACAACCCUCCCAUCUGCAAUUCAUUAAUUAUGUACUCGAAUUAAAUAUUGCAAUUUCAAUAUUAUUCACAAUCUUCUACUCUAAUCGCGGCCACAGACACACAGCAGCUUCACACUCAUACUGAUCUUGCAAGUUGUAAGUAACAGUGGGUUUAGAAUUUUAGCCUGAGCUCAAAUGUCUUAAUCCAAAACGUUCUUUUGAUCUUACAAAAAUUACAUUGUUUUGUGGUGAGCAACCAACCAAUGUCGUUUAGUCUGGUAUGAUGUCGUCCUCAUCAACUUAUUUCUCAAACCUAAACCUCAAUACUCUUUGACUUUCUUCCUCUCUCUCCACUGAUCCCCAUACCAAAGUCCUCAUCGAAGCUCACAAGCAACAUAAUACCUGAACUCUAUAGGAGUCAUCAACCUCAAAUCAAACUCGAUGAAAAAAAUUAAAGUAAAAAAUCAGACUGGAGCCUUGUGCCUACAAAAAAACCUUUAUGCGUGAAAAAUAAAAAUGUCAGAAUGGCCGUGGAACCAUCCUAGUGCCUUUCUGGCUCACUCUGCUAAAUACUAUAAUUGUUUCUUCAGUAAGAAAUUCUGCUAGAUCACCGAGUGCAUACAUUAGCGUCAGUGUUUUUUUUUGUCAGGUAACGAAGGUUUAUACAUAUGGUGACACACACACGGAAAGGUAAAGCAUGCUUGGUGGAGUUUGUCCUUUACUUAAAGAAUAUUGAUGAAAAAUCAAAUCACUUACAGUAUCUUAAUAGAAAUUUGAGUUACUGUAACUUUAUACCAGAGUUUGAUGCACACAUGGUUUCAGGUUUCAAGUUCAACUGAUGCAGCUUUAACAUGCUGGGAAAUAUUUGACGAAAAGACCUAGCUAGCAAGCUGCUUUAUAGCAUUCGGGCAAUUAGUUGCCCCUAUGAUCUUGAUCGAGUAUCAUUUUUAAUCCAACUUUCGUCGUGUUUCAGAAAAAGUUUCAUGAUUUCGAAGCGUUUCUGUCACAUAGUAGGAAGUAUGUGAAUUUCAUUAUACAAUUCACGAUUCUAACUAAAAACUGUACUAAACGUCCAUUUUCUAUCUUUUGUAUUUCUUACCUUUAGGUCCGACUUAAUCUAGUUCUAAUUUUUUUCGUUUUAAGUAAGUAAAUACGUAAUAAGAAAACAUGUCAGGAACUCUAUAGUUUUAAGGGGUUUUUUGAUAUGAGUCAAAAGUAACUAAAAAUUGAACAUAUUUCAAAAGUUAAAAAUCACUAAAAAUUAGACCUAUUUCAAAAGUAAGCCUAUAAAAUUAGACAUAUUUCAAAUUUUCCCAAGUAGAAUUUCAUAUAUGAGAUAUUAUUACCCUUUCUCUUUAAAGAAAAAUGCAAAUCAAUGAGAAAUAACACAUAUAAGAGAUAAAACUUCCAAUCUGAAAAAUGAUUAAGGUUGUGACAUAAAAAAGAAAGAGUGUAAUGUUUGGAAGGAGGUCAAGAAAUUGGAAGGAGAAUCGUUUUUCUUUUAAUUUUUAAUUUUAUUUCAUUUUUAAAUAUUUUAAAUCAAAUAAAUAAUUUUAUAAAUAAGUUUAUAAUGAUUUAUAAUUUUUUUUAUAGAAAUUAGAUGGAAAUGUUCUUAAUUGGCUAACGAAAAUAAACACAAAGACCAAAUUGACUAAAUUGAAAACACAGAGAUUAAAUUGAUCCAAUGACUAAAACACAUUGAUCAUUUUAAUAUUUAAGCCUUCAAUAUUUGAAAUGAAACUAAGAUAGAGUUCGGAUCUCACAUUGGAUAUGAGGGCUACAAGCCUGCAUGCUGCAACCCUACCCUGCAUAUGCAAAUACAGUAUACGUAUGGCCAACUUAAUAAUUCCACAACCCACAUGCUGCCCUACCUAAUCCUCAAAUUAAUUAUACUUAAUCACAAAACACAACAACGCGGAAAGAAUUAAAGCAACUUAACAAUUUCGUUAUCAUCGGGCCACAAAUUAAAAACAAAAAAAAUGCAUGCAAAAAUUGUGAUGAGAAGAAAGGUUGGUCCUCCCUUUGGUGACAAAUCCUCUUUGAAUCAUUUCCAUCCGGACUCCCAAGAUCAAAUAAUAUGAGCCGUUCACGUAAAAUCGUCUAGCUGAGAUCAUUCUUCCUCUUUAACUUUCUUACUUUUUCUCUUCCUCUUCAAUAUCUUGCCUUCUUCUUCGGUGGCCAUUGACUUAGCAGAACCAGAAGAAAGAAAGAAGAAAAUGGGAGGGGUUGAAGGUCGAGGAAACAUGCAGUGGAAAAGGGGUGGGAGGGGGAGGGACUGGGGAGGUGAGUGAUGGUAGGGAGGUCAAGGGAUUGGGUGCAGCAAUCUCGAUCCCAACUACUAUUCCGACAACAGUCGUCUCCUCUAAUAUUCGCGCCUCUCUUAACUUUCUCAUCGUCAAUGCUGUCGCUGCGGAUCUCAAGGCGGAGGAUUCUAAAGCCGCUAUCUCAACUUCUUUUCAUUAAAGAUUCGGAGGAUUUGGAUGGAAUGAGUUUGAAAAUGAUCAGAUUCCCUCCUUUUGAGAACAACUAAUAUAGAUUUAAUAAGUUUACCGUGUCACGUGAUGUUUCUAUUUGAUAUAUAAUAUAACAGCGUAUAACAUGAACAAAAAUUUACAUAACAUUAUAUUAAGCGACAAAAUUACCAUGACAAUAAACGCAAUCCAUGUCAAAUUGCAUCACCGUCAGCAUUGGCAUUGACUAGGAGGGGCGUUGGGGGGACCCCAAAAGCCCUCGAGUAAAAAAGCAAAGGGUAACCCUACAAGGCUGUGGCUGUGAGGCUACAGGUAAACAGGGUUACAGAUAUCUGCAUACGCAGAAUCGCACUCAGUUAACCACAUGCAACGAGAGCUCUGCGAACCUUGCCCACAUCAUCGCCAUCACAGAAACACAUGCACAAACACCCAUCACGUGUCAGCUUUUUUCACAGAAAAAUCCCACAACCCUAAGAACUUUGUUACCAAAUCCACUUGGUAUCCAUACUCCCUACUCCCUAGUCUUCAAUUUCAUCAUCUCCCGUGGAGAUUCCUUCAGAAUCGGGAUCAAAUUUUGAUUUUGGUCCUUUUAGUUUUAGCAAAGUUUCACUUUGAAAUGUACAUAUGUAAGGUUUGACUUUUGUUUAUUUUUCUUAUUUAUUAUAAAACUGGUUAAGCGGUACGUUUUGGGUUCAAUUCUUGACGUUGGUGAAUUGCACGAUGGUGAUCAUGAGAGCGAAAAUGCUUUUGUGAGCCUUCUUAGCCCUAUGAAUGGUGGAUUGUCGUAGCGAAGUCAUCAAUUGAUCCUUUAACAAAAAAAAAAAAAGAACUAGCUAUUUUUUAUUUACACUAAGAGUUGAGAGUCGGCUAAGUUCAUAAGUUCAAAUUUGAUUUUGAAAAAAUUGAACUUAAAUCUUCUCACUUACGUAUAAAGAAAAAUAUUACUCGACAGUAAUAAAAUGUAAAAAGUGCACCAAAUACUCUUUAGCAUUGAUUAGCUUGAUUAAUUAACUUCCCGGAAAACUCUCCUUGAAGAUAUGUUAGGUAAACGACCAACCUUGUGAUGCCGGUCUUUAGAGAAAUUUUUAGUUGUGACGGAAAUAUAAGUGAUAUAUUAUGUGCUUUGAUAGGAAUGGUGGGAGAUUUUAUUUUUUAAGUUAUUAAAUUUUUAAUACACAUAAUCCACCAUUUAUUUAAUGACACAUGAUGUAAUAUCUCGUGUACCGGUCACAUUGAAAAAUAUUUCUUUAAAGCACUCACAAACAACCAACAUAAUUUCUAUGUAGACCCUAAUCUUUCUUUUGUACCCACCUCCACACCAGUGAACUUUUCUCCCGGGAAAAAAAAUUAAAAUAUAGAAAAGAAAAGCUCUUGCCUUUGGCUUUUUGGGGGAAAACAAAUUGGUUCGGAGAAAGAGAGAGAGAGAGAAAGAGAGAAAGAAAGAAACCGACUUUUUUCAGAAGCAGAUUAUGGGUUUAUGGAUGCAUUGCUUCAUAGUCAGCCGUAUCGACUUUUCUGCAAUUUCUCUUUAGAUUUCGAUCGAAAAGUUGCUUUUUUGCCACCCAAUUUCUCUACCACUUCUUUAACCCCGGAAAGUUUGGAUUUUUUUUAGUAAUCGUGGGUGUUUGAUGGAAAGGAAAAGGUUGUGAAGCUGCUGCCGACUCGCAGGAAUUCAAAGUUCAAAUUUUUAAUCGAAAGAUUAAGGAUUUGGGGGUGUUUGAUUUGAUUAAUGGGUCUUACAGUUCAUACCUCGUCACCAAAACGCGUUGCGUCACCGUGUUGAUUUCUUUAUUGGGUGAUUUCUUUUUUUGUUGUUAUCGUCGUCGUUGGUGUUACUUAUUACCUUCGCAAUCGGAUCUGCGUUUGGUUUCUCAGUCAGACAUUCUUCUGGGAAUCUUUGUUCAUCUGUUUGGUUGCCGAGAAAAUACCUCAAGAAAAGGUGAGAAAAAAAUAUAGAAUAAAACGAAAAUUUGAGUUUUUUGUCUUCUGGGUUAGCUGAAUACAUGCUUAUUAGUGACAUUUUUCUUCUGUUUUAUAUGAUUUCGAUUGCCAAAUGAUGGAAUAUCCAAGAUGUAAUCUUCCUGUUUUGUUUUUGUUACAUAUGUCGGCAAGUGACAGCAUAUAUUUGUUGAUAUAACCAAUUUGUUGACGUUGUUCUUUGUUUUGUCUUAUGAUAAAUGCAGAUCAGUUGUUGUUGCAUGUGAAAGGUUCGAUCUUGCUUUGUUAGAAUUGGGACUUUGUGCUAUUUGUGCAAAGAAGUUCGUGUGUUUUGAGGCCAUUGAUUACGAAAAUCUGUAGGAUCUUUUAGGUGUUUUGCAUUAGUAUGCUUUUGAGGGGAAAAGAGUAAGAUAGUUUGAAGGUCUUGGGCCUCCGGCAAAGACAGGGGUGAGGUAGUUAUGGCGUCCGGAGAUAGGCGUCAGCAUCAUAAUAUGGUGCCUCUGGCUGCAUUGAUCAGCAGAGAGCUGAAGAGUGAGAAGAUGGAGAAGCCAACUGUCAGAUAUGGGCAUGCAGCUCAAUCCAGGAAGGGGGAGGAUUAUUUCCUGAUCAAGACUGAUGGUCAGCGAGUACCCGGGAAUUCUUCAUCAGCAUUCUCCGCAUUUGCGGUAAGCCUAAGUCUCUCUUAUAUUUGCACUAGAUUAUAGAGCCAGAGCUUGGCAGCUCACCUCUGUUAUGGUGUUGCCCCAUGGUGAAUGUCCCAAAAGUUGAAUUCUACAUAUGAGUGCUUAACUCUAUAUAGGCUGUGAGCGAGAUAUUUUCCGAAAAUUUCAUGUACUGUUGGUUUAAUUAUGGAAUGAAGCUGUGUGCUCAAACCAAUUUCCUUUAGCUAUCAAAUAUACUGCAAAUCAAGUAUAAUAGUCACCGUUCUCUUUCUGAUUGUCAGAUCUUUGAUGGGCACAAUGGAAAUGCAGCAGCAGUAUAUACAAGGGAGAAUUUGUUAAAGCAUGUGUUGGGUGCUAUUCCCCGUGGGCUAGGAAGGGAAGAGUGGCUCCAAGCUUUACCUCGAGCCUUGGUUGCUGGCUUUGUGAAGACUGAUAAGGAUUUCCAGAGCAGAGGUAUGGAAUUUACAAUUUGCUUAGUCUUUGUUCUUCUUUCUGGUUUUUCUCAUAUUUUUCAGCACAAAUGUACUAAUUCUUUCUACUCUUAUUUCGUGGCCAGGUGAAACUUCUGGAACAACAGCUACCUUUGUAAUAGUUGAUGGAUGGACCGUGACAGUUGCAUCAGUAGGAGACUCCCGUUGUAUCUUAGAUACUCAGGGUGGUGCUGUUUCCACCUUAACUGUUGAUCAUAGACUUGAAGAAAAUGUAGAGGAGUAUGUAUCUACUAAAAUUCACUAACAUUCCUCUCUUUUUAUUGUUCUGUGGAUUUGUUAAUUGAAUAUUUUCUUUGUAAUUGUAGGAGGGAGCGUGUUGCUGCAAGUGGUGGGGAAGUUGGGAGGUUGAGCAUUGUUGGUGGUGCAGAGGUGAGGGCUUUUAGAUCUUUUUGCUUUAUUUUCCUGACGAAAACAAAGAAAGGAACACUUCUGUGGCUGAGUCUUAAUUAAAAUAUGUUUUUCAUUGUGUAAUAUAUGUUGUUUUGACAUUUACAGAUUGGACCCCUCCGUUGUUGGCCAGGGGGUUUAUGCCUUUCUAGAUCAAUUGGAGACAUGGAUGUUGGCGAGUUUAUAGUUCCAAUACCAUAUGUGAAACAAGUCAAGGUAUCUUUCUCUGCGUGGAACUUCAAUUUUUAACAAGUUUUUAUUCAAUUCAAUGCCAGGUAUUGUUUAACCUGAAAGCUAACAUUCUUAUAUUGUUUUAAAAGCUUUCAAAUGCUGGUGGGAGGCUUAUUAUUGCUUCUGAUGGCAUCUGGGAUGCUAUAUCUUCCGAAAUGGCAGCACAUUCUUGCCGUGGGUUGCCAGCUGAACUUGCUGCCAGACAAGUUGUGAAGGUUGUUUGAACUACUUGGCCAUUUUCUUGCAAUAUGCACGUUAACCUCAAAGGCUAGAACUCUUUCUUAUUGAUGGUGGAUUUUGUUGUAGGAGGCGUUAAGGUCUAGGGGUCUAAAGGAUGAUACAACCUGCAUAGUUGUUGACAUAAUCCCUCCUGAUAUUACCGAACAGCCUUCAACUCCGCCAAAGAAGAUUAACAAGCUUAGGACCCUGUUGUUCAGAAAGAAGUCGCGUGAUUCUGCUAAUAAACUAUCCAAGAAGCUAUCGGCUGUGGGUAUUGUGGAAGAGUUGUUUGAAGAAGGGUCUGCGAUGCUUGCUGAAAGGUAGCUGAUUCCCUCUCACUCAAUUUAGUUGAUUCGAUGCAAAUUUUCUAGAAAAGUUUCACACUGCGGUUGUCUACUAAAUUUGAAAAGAAAAUUUUCAAUGAUGUCAUUAACUUUAGUCUUGUUUAGGAGAUCGAAGUGGGAGUUUCAUAUAUAGUUAUCAGAAACCUUUAUUUUUGAGUUGGAAGUUUCAAUUUGCCUGUUGGCUUCUGGUGAAAUGUGGUAUUUUGGUAUUGUGUAUUUGGUUACAUCUCAAAAUGAUUAUAUCCUGUAAAUGUGUUGCAGGUUGGGCAGUGAUGAGUGCACACCACAAUCGACAACAUCUGGGCUAUUCAUGUGUGCUGUAUGCCAGGUUGACCUUGCUCCGAGCGAGGGCAUAUCGGUUCACGCAGGUUCUAUCUUCUCAACCAGUUCAAAGCCUUGGCAAGGGCCGUUCCUCUGUUCUGAUUGUCGUAACAAGAAGGAUGCCAUGGAAGGAAAACGCCCUAGCGGAGUCAGAGUAGCAUAGGUAGCUUGUGCAUUGUUUCGCCACCAUUCUUUUUAACCCGGUAUUCCCAUUUUUUUGUAAUCCGUCUUCGUAGGCCAGCCAAUAUUGUUUGAAUCUUUUACUCUAGUGAUGCAUGUAAUGUAUAUGUAAAUUUGAUAAAUAAUUUGAAGUGAGUUUCAGAAGUUGAGGAAGGUCUUGUGCAAGGAAACCUCAUUUGAUAAAGUAAGUAAAUAAAUGAACGGAAGUGAUUUUCUUUUGAUUUAUUCAAUCCUGUUAGGAUGUAGAGUAGGGUUUCACAGCCAAACGUUCGUUCCUCUCAAUCAUUCUCCGUUGUAUACUGCCACAAACGUUUUGCAAAACCAUGGAAUUGAGGAUUUCCAAUUGGGAAGCCAAGUUCGACGAGUUCAAGAAGUCUCAAGAAGAAUUCAGGAUUUCUGAGGCCAAAUUUCGGACCGAAUUCAAGACUACCACUGAUUCAAUUCUUAUUCAAUUGAAGUUGCUCGCGGCCUACAUCGACGCAUCAGCCGUUCAUCAAAUCUACAUCUCCUCUCUCUCUCGAGAGAGAGAAAUCGAAUCAAAUUGUUCUCAAGCUUCAAUCCUUCCACAUGGAAAAGGUUCGAGCCCGAGAGAAAGUGGAUGAAUUCUUGUCUCAGUACCAUCCAAAAUACAAGCCCAAAAGUCAUCCUUGUUUUCGUCCAACAUUAAAAAAGUUCAAGAAGGUUCGAUGUUCUCAUCAAUGUUCCGAAUUUUCGUCGUAUCAGCCACUAAAGCGUGAGGAUCGUGAUCGUGGUAACAAGUCUCAUCCCUGUUCUGUCUCCGAAAAAAUUGAAGGUCAUGAUAUGAUUCAAGGAUUUCUUAAAGAUGAAACUUUGGAAUUUGGGUGCAAGAAAAUCUGGGUUACUGAAAUUGGAGAAGAAAUCUACCCGUUCAGGUCGAAACCAGCGACUAUUCUUGAAUUUGAUUGUAAGAGUGGCAAAUUCCAAGUUUUCAUUUUGGAAAUUCAUGUUUCUAAUGUUGAGUUUAAGAAAGCUAAAUUGCCUGGUUCACGCGCACUCUACCCGUUUGACAAAAUGUCGAACUCAGGUUACAUUCUUGAUAUUAAACUUGGCUACCAUACGAGCAUUCGUGAUAAAGGAGGUACCAACUUUCUCUCCAGUUUAGAGUCAAUGGAUUUAUUGGUAAGCUGUGAGGACUCAAGUUUCUGUGUUGUUAGCGAUCGUUCCAUGGGCUAUUACUACAAGGGUGGGACAAUUAGUCAAAGGCUCUUCAAUUCGAAGUCCAAGAAUAAAGAUUAUGUUCUGGGUUCUGAUUGUUCCAAGGUGGUCAAAUGUGAGGUGAGUUGUGAUUCCUCCAUGAUCAUUGAUGGGGAAGAUGCUGGUUAUUUGGGAUUGCAUCAUUUAGAAACUUGUAUAGACAAGAACAGAAAAAAUGGAAGUAAGUUCACCUUCUCCAGAUUUGAAACUAGUUUCUGUGUUGUUGUCCAUUGUGACAUGUGCUAUUGUAAGGGCAUUCGGGAUAAGGGUGGAGGCUCCAAAUUCUGGAAGAGCGCUGAUGAUGAGGAAAAGAUGGUGAAUUUGUAUUUUAAUCGGAUUGGUCGGCCUAGUUCUAUGCCUAUAAACGAGAAUGAGUCAUUUGUGAAAAAUGUUAUGCAAAAGAAGAAAAUGGCAAUGGAUGAGUUUCUGAUGUCAGAAAAAUUGACUUUACGACCUGGAGUUGAAGGGUUUGUUGAUGAUGCAUACAAGGAAGGGAUUCAUGUGGUUGUAUUGACAACUUAGAGUAAGAGUGGGGAUCAAAUUGGCAGAUCAAUUCUUGAAAAGCUUGGCGAGGAAAGAAUUUCAAAGCUAAAGAUUGUCGGAGAUAAGGAGGUUGACCUGAGUUUGUAUACCCAACUAGUAAAUGAUACAGGAUUAUCGUUUGGUGUGGAUGAGCAACUAGCUAAGGAGGCAAUAAAAGCAGUUUCCGCUGAGAAACAAAGGAUUGCAGAGGAGGUGGGGUCUAUGCUACAGCUAAGUGUAAAUAUCGAUACUAGCCCGCCUGAAAGCUUAUCAUUGCCGCAUUCCGAGUUGGGGGAGAAGUUGCUGGACUACAUGUAUGUGAUUGUGUUCUUAUUUCAAAUACUCAUUUCUCUUGUCUAAAUGAAUCUGGAAAUUAUAUUGAUUGUAGCGAAGAUGGAAUGAUUGGGGUGGUGAUGUUGGUUGCAUAUACUACUUGCAUAGUUGUAGGUGGAGUAUUUUGUAGUACGUAUAUUGAGUUGAGCAGGGCAGGGAAGAUGACAUUCCCCAUUGUUAAUGAUCUUGGAACAACGUAAAUCUGAUCGUGAAUCUGCAAGUAAUGUAAAUAACACAAGAUGUAUCGUGGUUUACCCCAAGAUUUGGGUUACAUCCACACUGAUUGUAUUUCUCUGACUGUAUGUAUGGAUUACAAGGGUGAGGGGGAGUCCCCCCAGAAAAAGAGAGUGUUGUUGUGUUUGUGAGGGUAUUGCCCUAUGUUGGGUUUUCUUUGUCCUCUUUGUGAGAGGGAAGAGUCCCCUUUUAUAGAAUAAGGGGCUCAUUUUUUUACAUAAUCAUAUGGGCUGGGUAAUGAGGCCCAAUAUGUGUGGUACCAAUAAUAGUCCCUCAAGUCUUUAGUCAAGAGAGUCUUUUGGCUGGAGACUUCAAAUUCAAUCCAUGUACGGGCCGAAGUGGCUAGAUGUCUUGAAUUAGUACUCAACACAAGGCAAUGCUCAACAUAAAACAAUACUCGGCUAGAGGUAUCACACGUUACGAGACUGCUCGGCUGGAGGCGAUGCUUGUUGCGAGGCUGCUCGGCUAGAGGCUAUGCUCGCGGCGAGGCGUUUGCUCGGCUGGAGGCGAUGCUCGUUGCGAGGCGACUCGGCUAAAGGCUAUGCUUGCUGCAAGGCGGCUCGGCUUGUGGUAUUCCUCAUUGCAAGUAUAUACUUUAUGUCGACAUGCACUCAGUAUGAGUUGAUUCUCGACAUGACUCGGGUCCACAUGUCGGGUUCGCAUAUUGGUCUAUGUGUCGGAUCCGCGGAUUGGGUCUGCAGGUCGGGUCUUUGAGUCGGGGCCAUACGUAGGGUCAUCGAGUUGGGGCUAUCUGUAGGGUCAUUAAGUUGGGUCCAGGCACAUAGGUGUCCCAAUAAGCGAAUGUCCGAGCAAAUGGGUGUCUGGUCAAACAAGAGAUCACCAUGAGCACGUGGCUCAUCAGUCUAUAUGUUGGUAGACUUCUUUAAUAAGCAACAAUGUUGAUCAGUGGAUCUAGUUGUUCAAUAAUUCCUGACAAUAAAUGACAAUAUAAGUACGAUCGUAUAAUGAAUAAAUCAAUUUGACAAAGUUUGUCAAGGCAAAAUAUUGUACUAUGUGCCUUCUAUAAAUAAAUAAUUUAUUCAGCCAUGUGAUAAGUGACAUGUUGCAUAAAUCAACAAUAUAUUAGGUAUUGCCUAAAUGUGUAGGUUAUUAAAAAUAUAUAUAUAUAUAUAUAUAUAUAUCUUAGCCACAAUGGGGAUAUAAAAUGGCAGGCAGUUUCAUUAGGUGCCCUAAUCAUCACAUAUUGUAUUCGUCUGUAACUGUGCAUGUCAUGUGACACCACACACCAUCACUCUCUACAUGUACUUAUAUAUAUAUAUAUAUAUAUUAUCACGGCUGACAAGGCGUGGCAGAAAUAAUUAAAGUGGAAGCUAAUAAUGAAAAGGGUUAGGAAAAGUGUUCUUAUCUGUGAGUUUUUUUUCUUUUUUCUUUGUAAGAGUGGUUGAUAGCUGCCUGUUGUUGUUGGUUGGUCACUGCGCCUACUUGAGAGCUCAUCCUUUUCUUUUCUUUUUUUUUUAUUAUUUUCUUUCCACUGCGCAUUUGUCAGCAUUUUGGUUGAAAGAUCCACUUUGAUCCGUUUUGGUUGAAAGAUCCACCACAGAUAAUCACCCUCACCACUCUCUCAUUAUUUUCCUCAGUGACGUAGUCACACCAUGCACAUACAUACAUGGCAUAACUUCUAAAUAUUUCCCUCAGCAGGCAUAGAACUCGACUAACUCGUCCAUUGACUCGGGUUGUGGAUUUGUCCCAGCUAAUCUCGGUAUUGCCAAUGGAGGCUGUUAUGGACGUCGCUCCAAAUCGAAAACCACUGAACUCUCUCACCCUCCUCAAAACCUAGACUCCGCAGCCAUCAUCUUAUCUGGCUCGGCGAUGCAGGCCCGCCCGAUCGAGUGAUCAAGCUACUCCUCGUCCUCUUCCACUCGGCUGGUGUCAUCGACAAGCACUGCCCGCGCCUUGAGCGUCACGGUGCAGAGAGGACUUUGGCGUAGGAGAAUCGUAGCCGGAGAACGGCUCGAUGGGUCGAGAGCUCGGCUUUGGAGCCGUCGAAAAAGAGAUUCUCUUGGCGGUGCGUGGCGAUGAGGAAUAGCUCCAGGAAGAUGGUGACUUAGCGGUGAACGAGGGUUGUAAUUUUGGGCUCUCUCUAGGUGUUACUUGCCAGAUGAUAUGGGUUGCGGAUUCUGCUGCAUUAGAGAUUGAAGAACACAUGGGAACAUUUACUUUCAUAUCCUCCAUUGGUGUUAAAUAUAGGAGAGAGAAAGUGGUGUUGGAGUUGAAAAGAUGAGGGGUUAAGAUGAAGCUGCAAGAGAAGAAGGAGAUGAAGAUGAGAUAGAGAAGCUUGGGACUUGUUCUCUUGUAAUUAUAACCAGAGUUUGCAAACUCCAUUAGAAAGGUAGUGGUCAGUGAGUCUUCAUCUUUCUCUACUGCGGCACAAGGCUUGUCAACUUUUCCCCACUGGUGGUGAUGCCGCUGAUACCGCCCCAUUAUUUCUUAUGCACCAAAAAAGAAAACUUUGAUCUUUAUUUUUUCCUUUCCCCUGUUUUUUCUGCUUUCUGGGUUUUGUAGAGAGAGAGAGAGAGCUCUAUGAGGAUGAGAGCUCUCUGAAUGUGAGCUUUCUGUGUCUGUGUCUCUGUGUGGGUUUUUGCAGAUUCACGGCGGAAGUGAAAAACUGAAAGAGAACCGACACAACUUUUCGUAUCGUUUCCCACAAACUGCGCCAAAUGUUGAUACACAAAAUCGGAGGUUCUGGAACAACGUAAAUCCGACCGUGAAUCUGCAAGUAAUGUAAAUAACACAAGAUGUAUCGUGGUUCACCCCAAGGUUUAGGCUACGUCCACACUGAUUGUAUUUCUCUGACUGUAUGUAUGGAUUACAAGGGUGAGAGGGAGUCCCCGGAGAAAGAGAGUGUUGUUGUGUUUGUGAGGGUAUUGCCCUCUGUUGGGUUUUCUUCGUCCUCUUUGUGAGGAGGGAGGAGUCUCCUUUUAUAGAAUAAGGGGCUCCUCCUUUUACAUAAUCAUAUGGGCUGGGUAAUGAGGCCCAAUGUAUCAAAGUAUGAGGCCCAAUAUGUGUGGUACCAACAAUAUGGUUCAUAGCUUUCACAUGCAGAAGAAGCUUCCAUUUGCAGAUCAAAUUCUUUAGGUUUUUCAGUUUCAAGCCUUGCUGCAUGGCUCAUUUUAUGGGGGGAAACCAAGAGAGGAAAUAAGCAGCAAAACAUCAAAGAUGCAGAACCCAGAUAGAACAGAAAACUAUCUUGUUUGCAGAUAUUGUCAAGCUUUGAAUGUGGAGGGUACUCAAUUAGAUGAGUGUAGUGUUUCAGUUCAUACUUCAUUUUCAUGUUCCAUGUUCUUGCCCAAAAAAGCAUUUGGGACCACAAGUACAAACCACAGUGCCAUUGCCAGUUAUCACAGAUGCUGGGAAUUUGCAAGAUGCACCAGUUGCAAUCUUAGACAAAAGAACAAUCAAGAAAGUGUUGCGGCUACUAAAGCCUUAGUCAAUGGCAAAACCACUCCAAACAUGAUGUUACAUGGGAACUAUACCAUGAACUCAAGCUUAAGUUCCAGAAAUUGUGAACUUUUAAUACAUUCUUGUGAUUGUGUUGUUCCUGGUUUUAUUGCUGGUUUUCAAUUGUACUUGGUUCGAAAUUGUAAAUCUUGUAAGAUUGGUUUUAAGGGGGGUAUUGUUAGGAUGCCAGAUGGCAUCAUCUUGUGGUGACAAUCAGAGUUACGUAUUAGCAUAAAUAGUACAUUGUAAGAGAAGAAAGGCAGUUAAUGAAAUUGUAUUGUUGUUCUCAUGUUCUGUUACCUAUCUCUCUGUGCAAUUGUGGAAGAUGUAAAGUAGGGUUCUAACAAAUCCUAGGGUUGGAAAACAGAAACACGAAAUAAAUGCACGGAAGUGAUUUUCUUUUGAUUUAUUCAAUCCUAGGGCUAGAAAUGUUGUGUUUGGCUCAUACAUUUGUGAGUAAUUAUGAGUCAUGUGUUAACAACAAUGAAGUGAACUGUGUUUGCUUUCGGUGGAAAUAUCACAUGGCGUGGGUUGCAUGAAAAUUGCAGACAAAGUAAAAGCAAAAGUUUGGUGGACAUCAUCAUGAGUAAAAACAUAAUGAUGAUGCUUGCUUUUACUUUAAUGAUGAUGUUUGUGGAAAAAGGGAAAGUUGAUUCCUUUUUCUUUUGCUAUUUAUUUUGCUAAGAACCGAAGGGAGAGAGAGAGAGAUUUGGCUCUCUCCUGAGGCUCUCUCCUGAGAAGACAUCAGAGAGCAUCCAAAGGGUGAGAGCAUUCGGCUCUCCCAUGGGAAAGCAUGGGCACGGGUGAGAAAAUCAAGAGAGCUAGAGUGAAAAGUAUUAUAGUGAAAGAACUCUUGGGAUAGAGUGAGGUUCUUGGGAAAAUUCUAUGAGUGGGUGUGCAAGAGAUUUGGGAUUGGGUUAUGUUGAUUUAACUCAUGUGUACUUGUACUGUUAUUCUCAUAGUGAAGAGCAAUAUCUCUCCGGGGACGUAGGCAGGUUUUUGCCGAACCUUGUAAAUUUCUCGGUGUCUUUAUUUCUUGUAUUUUAUUCUGUUCAACUGAGUGUGAUUUUGGUGAGGUUGUAAUCUGAAUUUCGUUUCCACAUUGACAAACAGGCCAAGGCACAACAAGAAAACAGAAAAACACGAUAGUGAGCAGGUGGAGAAAACUGAAGUGCGAAAAACACUUCCAUAUUGUACGCUGAAUUUUCCAAGUCAAGUCUUGAUUCUAUAUUGUCUGCUGCAUAUGAAAUUUCCAAGUAAAGUAGCGUGUUGAUUAGAAGUCUCUGAAUCAACCAUACAUGCUGUGAAGAAAUAGUACAAGUAGGUUAUCUGAGAGCUCUGAGUUUCUUUCCUCUGUUCUCUCCCACUCUUCAAAAGCAGUGCACAUCCUCCUGAAUGCGGAUUGUUCACUUUUGAUUGUUCUGACCAAAUUGGUCCGACGAUCCAACUGGAAGAGGGAGCAUACUCGCUUGAAUUCGAAGGCACUCUAUCAUCUUCGAUUCACAGAGCUGCAGGAGCCUCAACGAUGAAGUUUUCGUCGAGAGUCUUCUUAUGAUCUCUCACUCUCUCUCUCUCUCUCUCUCUCUAAAAUUUACAAUGAAUCAAAACGUCUGUAUUCUCCUCCUCAUGAUUUUUGUCCUGUCAUCUGAAACGUCAUUGGUUUUGGCUGUGAACUUUUUCUACCAAAACUGCAGUGUGCCCAUUACUUGUGGCAGCCAAGACAUUAGGUAUCCAUUCUACAUCCAAGGCAAGCAACAACCCUUUUGUGGGUAUCCUGGUUUCGAGCUCUCCUGCCAAGGCGGAGAUGAAGACGGAGAAGCCUACCCAAUUCUCCAUUUGUCUGGUAACGAUUACAUAAUCCACAACAUCAGUUACCAAACCAGUUCUCUUCUUGUCUCAAAUGCUCUGCUUUCACACUACCUAAACAACUCUGCUUGUACUAACCUGUCGUCAAUCAACAACUUAACCCUCCCUAAUGAUCAGUUUAAUCUGGCUCCAAACCAAGAUCAAUUCUUUCUGCUCUACAACUGCAACUCUUCGUUUGUCGAUUCUUUUCCAAAGUACAAGAUUGGUUGUAAUAACACUUCGGUUCUUGCUGUGCCUCGGGAUGAAUACCCUGAAGUUGGAAAUGUCCUGCAGUCCCAAAAGUGUGGAUCGAGUGAGGUGGCGGCAGCGCAUGGUGGAGGGUACGGGAAUGUUGAGGCAGCGGGAAUGAAGGAGGUGUUGGGGAGAGGGUUUGAGAUGACGUGGAAGGCAGUCGACUGCAGCCGCUGCUAGAGUAGCGGAGGGUUAUGUGGGUUUAAUUACACCACCUACCAUUUUAGGUGCCUCUGCCACAGUACGACUCAUUCUGUGCGCUGUAUGGACGAAGAUGACGAAGGUGGAAACUUGGUGGCUAAAGUCUCCAUAGGUAAUUACAACUUUAUUGCAUUAACCCUCUUGCUUAGAUUUGUUUUCCUAAGUUUAUAUGUUGUAAUAAGGUUUAUAGCCACACGGGAUGCCUACCAUUCGAUCGAACACAUCACUAUAUUUUCAACGUAUAUUCAGCAGGUGCAGGUGCAGGUGCUGGUCUCAUAUUUCUAAUCGUUAUCGUUUGCUGCUUAAGGGGAAAGUUAUCAUCAUAUAGAUUUCUGUUCUUUUGGAAGAAGCAAAACCAAAAUCUUCAAAUUGUAGAGGCCUUUCUAAGGAGCUACGGGCCGUUACAAGUACGAAGAUAUAGCUUUUCGGAGGUCAAGAAAAUGGCCAACUCCUUCAAAGAAAAAUUAGGACAAGGAGGCUGUGGUGCUGUUUACAAAGGAAAGUUAAAGGACGGCUGUCUUGUAGCAGUGAAGGUCUUGACCAAACUAAAAGGAGAUGGAGAAGAAUUUAUGAAUGAAGUGGCAGCCAUUAGUAGAACUUCCCAUGUCAAUGUCGUCACCUUGUUAGGCUUUUGUUUUGAGGGUUCCAAAAGAGCUCUCAUCUAUGAAUUCAUGUCUAAUGGAUCUCUCGAGAAAUUCAUAUUUGAUGCAAGUACUCCCAACGUAGGUCAUGAUCACUUGGGAUGGGAAGCAUUGGAUCGAAUUUCACUCGGCAUUGCUCGAGGGUUGGAGUACUUACAUCGUGGUUGCAACACAAGAAUUUUGCAUUUAGACAUCAAGCCUCACAACAUUCUUCUCGAUGAAAACUUCACCCCAAAAAUCUCGGAUUUUGGCCUUGCCAAAAUAUGCAACAGCAAAGAUAGUAUUGUGUCGAUGUUGGGAGCAAGAGGUACAGCAGGUUACAUUGCUCCAGAAGUAUUUUCUAGAAAUUUUGGAGGGGUCUCACACAAGUCGGAUGUGUACAGCUACGGAAUGAUGCUUUCAGAGAUGAUUGGAGGAAGACGGAACAUCAAUGUUGAAGCUGAUAAUACAAGUGAAAUAUAUUUUCCGCAUUGGAUUUACCAGCGUCUUGAGCUGAACAAAGAGCUUGGUCUGCAAAGCGUUAAGAACGAGGAAGACAAAGAAAGGGCGAGGAAGAUGAUCAUAGUGAGCUUGUGGUGCAUACAAACUAAUCCUUCAAACCGGCCGGCGAUGAAGGAAGUGAUAGAUAUGUUGGAAGGGAGUGUUGAUUCGUUGCAGAUACCACCCAAGCCUUACUUGUCUUCUCCUCCAAAAUCCCCGGCAGAUUCUUCUACCACAUUGGUAUCAAUACAGUAGAAUCCCUGUAUUUUACUUGAACAAAUCUGUGUUUUUCUGAGGCAAUCUAAAUAAUGAAGUAUGCAUUUCAUUUUUGUUUUUGUUUUUUUUUUGUUUUUCUAUAGAUGAAUGAAUCAAGACACUUGUAGUGACCCUCCUACUACGCGUCCCGCAAUCAUAUAUAUAUUCAAAACAAAAUGUGUGAAACAUUUGCAUUUGUGGAUACGUUCUUCCCUCUUGCCUCGUCUCCUACUUACACCAUCAAAUCGCUAGAGAAAAUGAGUCACAUGUAAGACCCUUAAUCAUAAUCACCAAGACCAAAACAUGAACUACAACUUAGAGAAAUAUUCAACUUAUGUAUCUGAGAAACACAGGAAGAAGAACAUACCUGCACUUGUAGCAGAACCCGAAGCCAUAGCCGCAAACUUUCAGUGUACCUUCUCUUCUCUCGCAGGUUAUCAAGAGCUCGACUUAUAAAUAGGAUUAAGUCCAGAAUAUCAGCCUUUUACUGUGAGAAGAGAGGCCACUAUAUAUAUACAUAUAAUCUUUACCAUAACUGAUUAGGAUUCCCUAUCAAAAUCCAUGUAGGAAACAAAUCUUGUCUCCUUGUUCUGAUCUUCAUGCUGUACAGAAUCCCUCUUCAUAAGGGAUUAGCAUUCCUUUUAUUAUCAAGACUUUUCUAUCCAAUUGAACACAUAUAGCCGGUCCUAAAACUCCUCUAUCUCAUACUCAUAUUCUUACAUUCUCCCACUUGAGUAUGAGAACAGUUUUAAGUACUCAGCCAAGUCAAUUAUGUGCAGAUAGAAGUGAUCACUAGUCUUGUUAAUAAAAUUUCAAUCACAACCAGCUAUCAUACAUCUCAAAAUGCAGAACGCUUGUAACUGUAUUACCACAAUAAAGCAAACAGGUUUUCAAGAGUUACAGACAUUCAAUUUGUAUGCUCAACGUUGUGAACUUGAUCAAUAUCAGUAAUAAGCAAAAUAAUUUGCUCCCACUAUUUCAAAUCAUUGUCAGCAAGAUGUAAAACAAAUCUUUGCUUCAAAACAAUGCAUGAAUCAACAAUUCAUCACUAAAUGCUUUAAACGGAGAAACCAUUAUUAAAGCAACAAAUGAAUUAUAUCAAACUUUAUUUUGUUCGAAACAAUAGAUCAUCAUAACUGAUCUCAAUUCGAUAAAAUAAACAAAACAAACUAACAAACAUAAUACUAUCCAGCCAUAAGAUUUUAAAUUUGAAAUUUGAAACCUGUCUAUAUCACCACACCAGCUCUCUGAACUUCACAGCAGCGAAUAAACAGUCAUAAUAAGACUAACGAAUUACUCCCACUGAUCAAAGGAUUCAAGUAUUCCCAUCCGAGAGACAUGCGUUUUAAAUACUCCAAUCGGCAAUGCUUUAGUCAAAGGAUCCGCAAUCAUUGCAUUUGUGCUUAAGUGCUCCACCUGAAUUGCUCCUUCUCUAACCUUUUCUCGGACCUUAAGGAAUUUUACAUCCAUCAGUCUUGAAGCUGAAGUUCUCUUAUUGUUCUUGCUAAAAAAUACUGCAGAAUUGUUAUCACAAUACAUCAUGAUAGGCCUUUGCACAGAAUUUACAACUUUCAAAUCUGUCACAAAGUUUUUCAACCAUACAGCUUGUUUCAUUCCUUCAAAACAAGCUAUAAAUUCUGCCUCCAUUGUCGAUGUUGCGAUGAUAGUCUGUUUUGCACUUUUCCAGGAGACUGCACCACCACUUAGCAUAAAGAUAUAACCUCCAGUAGAUUUUCUAUCAUCUACAUCACCGGCUAAAUCAGAAUCAGUGUAGCCAACUAACUCCAAUAGCUCAUUCCUGCCAUAAACCAACAUAUAAUUCUUGGUUCUUUGCAAGUACCUCAAAACUUUCUUUGCUGCUACCCAAUGUGCCUCUCCUGGAUUUGCUUGAAACCUGCCCAACAUUCCAACUAUAAAAGCUAUGUCCGGUCUAGUGCAGAUAGUUAUAUACAUCAAACUUCCCACCAAUGAAGCAUAAGGCUUAUUCUUCAUUUUAUCUAUCUCCAUAGGCGUCUUGGGACAUUGAGCCUUUGAGAAUCUGUCUCCCUUGUUGACUGGUACUUCACCAUUACUGCAGCUUGACAUAUUGAACCUCAUGAGUACCCUUUCUAUGUAUCCCUUUUGUGAUAAACCGAGUAAAUUCCUUGAUCUAUCUCGAACAAUUUCAAUACCAAGUACAUAGUGUGCUUCACCAAGGUCUUUCAUUUCAAAAUUCUUACUGAGCAUGGUCUUAGUGUCUUUAAGCAGCUUCAUAUUAGAACUGGCAAGGAGGAUGUCAUCGACAUACAACACUAAAAAUAUAAAAUUAGUGCCUGAAAAUUUAACAUAGAUGCAAUCAUCUAAUUUGUUUUCCACAAAACCUUGCCUUGUAACUACUUGAUCAAACUUUAAGAACCAUUGUCUUGAUGCCUGUUUAAGCCCGUAGAUUGACUUGUUAAGUUUACAAACCAUGUCUUCUUUCCCCUUUUCAACAAAUCCAGGAGGUUGCUUCAUAUAAAUGUCUUCGGCCAGCUCACCAUUAAGAAAGGCAGUUUUAACAUCCAUUUGAUGCAGUUCCAAAUUGAAAUGAGCAACAAGUGCCAUUAUGACCCUCAUAGAAUCUUUGGAAGAGACGGGAGAAAAGGUGUCAUUGUAAUCCACCCCUUCCCUCUGAGUGAAUCCCUUGGCAACUAACCUUGCCUUGUACCUUUCAAUAUUGCCGUGAGCAUCUCUUUUGGUCUUAUAAACCCAUUUACACCCAAUAGCCUUGAAUUGAGGAUUGGAAUCCACUAAUGUCCAUACUUCGUUUUUGGACAUCGACUCCAAUUCCUCCUUCAUUGCACUGUGCCAUAAGGAUUGUUGAGAACUAUUCAUGGCCUGAGAAUAAGUGAGAGGGUCAUCCACAUCGCCAAAAUCAAACUCAUGCUCCUGCAAAUAAACAUAGUCAUUUGACAUUGUGGUUUUUCUGAUUCUUGAAGAUUGUCUCAAUGGUAAUGUCGGAUCAUGGAGAACUUCAGUGCUCGGAUUCAUUGGUGCAUCAUUAGUUGGAGCUGGAUCCCCUUGUUGUUGUGGUUGGGACCCAAGAUCAAUUUCCAUUCUGUCAAUAUUUUCUGGACAGUCUAAGUGUUCUUCCUCCAAUUCAAUCAUGGAAGCAGGAGUGAUCAACAUUUCUUUGUAAGAAUUACUGCAAAAAAACUUCUCAUUUUGAUCAAUCUCUUCAAAAAUGAAACUGCCCUGUGAUAAGUCUGCAAUAUCUUGAUCUUCAAAGAACCUGGCAUUGUGAGUUUCAUGAAUCCUGGUGUGAGCUUGAGGACAAUAAAACUUGAAGCCUUUAGAUUUCUCUGAGUAGCCAAUGAAGUAGCAUGAUUCUGUCCUUGAGUCCAAUUUCUUCUCAUUUGGAUUGUAAAUUCUAGCCUCAGCUUUACAUCCCCAAACAUGGAAAUGACUAAAACUGGGCUUCCUGCCAUUCCAGAUUUCAAAAGGUGUUGAUGAAACCGCUUUGCUCGGAACUCUGUUCAGUAUAUAAGUGGCUGUCUUCAAUGCUUCACCCCAUAGGAAUCCUGGUAACUUUGAUCUUGUCAUCAUGCUUCGUACCAUUCCAAUCAGAGUUCGAUUCCUCCUUUCUGAAACUCCGUUUUGCUGUGGUGUUCCUGGUGUAGUGUAUUGAGCAACAAUGCCUUGUUGUUCAAGAUAAAGCGCAAACGGACCCUUGUGUUGUCCAGCCUCACUGUACCUGCCAAAAUACUCUCCUCCUCUAUCCGAUCUAACAAUCUUAAUGGUCUUGCCUAACUGUUUUUCUACCUCAGUUUUAUAAACCUUGAAAUAAUCUAGGACAGAUGAUUUCUCACUGAUUAAAUAAGUGUAACAAAACCUUGAAAAAUCAUCAAUAAAGUUGACAAAAUAAGAAUUACCGCAAAUAGUUUUGGUUGGAAAAGGACCGCAGAUGUCAGUGUGUAUAAUCUCUAGCAAAUUCUGACUCCUUUUGGCAUCUAACUUUCUAGAAUUAGUCAUCUUCCCUUUUGCACAAUCAACACACUCAAUUGCAGUAGCAAGAUUUAAUUCAGGGAUCAACUGAGCUUUGGACAGUUUUAAAACUCUUUCUUUGGAUAUGUGGCCUAACCUCUUGUGCCAAAGGAGGAAAGAAUCAUCACUGCAGUGCAUCCUCUUAGUGCUGAUGUUUAAAACAUGUUGAUUUGGGGACUCCAAAGUACAAUUUAGACACCACAGAUUGUCACUUAAAUAUGCAGUUCCCAAAACACAAUCUAGGUGGUUCUUUUCAAAAAAUUUUAAACUUUCAUCAUCACCUAGAAAGGCAAAACCAUCUUUGACAAUUCUUGAAGCAGAGAUCAGAUUUCUCCUCAUUUUAGGCACAUAAAGCACAUCCUUUAGUUUUAGUAUAAAACCAGAAGACAAUUUUAAACACACCAUACCUAUAGCUUCUACCGCAACUUUAGUACCUUCUCCCACAAAGACAUUAUAAUUUUUUAAAACCAGUUUGUUUUGAUUUCACAAAACCCUCCAAAGAAUUUGAAAUGUGAACUGAGCAACCGGUAUCAAACCACCAAGAAUUCACAGGGAUUUCAAUCAAAUUAGACUCAACACAGACAUUGACAUUUUCUACACCCUUACUUUUAAGAUAGUCCUGAAAAACUUGACAAUCUUUUCUUAAGUGUCCUUUAGUUUUGCAGAAAAAACAUCUGAGUUUGGCAAUAUUUUUAGUUUUGACCAUAAGAUUGCUAGAUCCCUUAAUAGAGUCUUUUACUUUGGCAGAUGCAGUAGACUUAAAAGAGGUUACCUUGGUAUUGUUGUUCUUACCAGAGUGUCCAGAGAAUGAUUUGAAUGAUUUCUUCCCCUUGUCUGGUUGCACAAAAUUCACCGUUUCAGUUUCUUUCCCUCUUUCUUGCUUCUGUCUAGCCUCUUCUUGAACGCACUGUGCAAUUAGCUCAUCAACAUCCCAGUUCUUGUCUUGAGUGUUGUAAGACACCUUUAACUGACUAUAUUUGUUUGGAAGAGCUUGAAGGAUCAUGAAAACUAACUGUUUUUCACCAAUAUUAACAUCUAAAGAAUUUAAUUUCUCAGCUGCAUCAGUCAUUUUCAAGAUAUGGUCUCUGAUUGACCCUAUGCCAUCAAUCUUGUAUGUGGUCAGCAUUGCCAUAUAGUGACUGAUUUCUGCCUUUUGAGAUUCUUUGAACUUUCUUUCAAUUGCUUGUAAAUACUCAAUAGCUAGUUCAUGCUUCUUGAUUCCACCGCGAACAGUAUCAGUCAUAGCACUUUCAAGUAUAGAAAGUGCCACUUUGUUUGCUCUGACCCAUCUCUCUGCAUCAGCUUUCUCAGCCCUUGUACUUUGAUCAGUCAGAAUCGGCUUGGGAGUUUCAAGGGCUAUGUCAAAGUCAUUGAGUGUCAAUAAGAGCCCAAUCUCACGUCUCCAUUUCUUGUAGUUGCUUCCCCCUGUGAGAACAAGAAUGUUUGCCAAGUUCAUAGUCCGGAACGAUAUUGCAGAUGAUGAACCUGCAAUGAAAUCACAAUUUGAACUUAUUAGUUCCUGAUUUCAUCUCAACAUCACCUUGCACAUCAUGACUAUAAUCACAGACCCAUAUAUAUAGUCUUAAUCAACAAUCUGUUGAUAAGCAUACAUAGAGUGGAAUGAUUAAGCAAGAACUUGAAAAACGAUCCGCUGAUUUCUGCCAUAUAUCCUUAGACACCAAAUGGUUUGAUGGUGUCUCAUACAUGUAAAAGGCAUUUGAAAGUGAUCAAAGAAAGCACCGAAUGGUUAAUAAGGUCUGUAUCUCUACUUUAAAAGAUCAAAAUACAUCUGCAUAUGACUUACGUUUGCAGUCGAUGAACUGGGAAAGUAAACACAUUCAUCUUUACAUUUUACCAAAAGAUUCAAAGCAAUUAACAACAUACCUUUUAAUCUUUAUAACUCAAAUUCACGAAUCGGGCAGCGGAAGCGAUUUAGAAUUUGAAAAUAGAAGAUUUGAGUUUUGGAAAGGAAAAACCCAGAUCGAUGUUUAUGGAAGAAAGCAUUGCUUUCUUCAAUCUGGAAAACCUUCACUCGAUAAUAACUUAAUGGUUCCUUUGACGGUUCAUUAUUACCAACGCUUCUUUUAUUUCCUCCAGAACCGGACUUCGAUUCUUCGUAAGAGUAAAAAAACAUUUUUUUUUUUUUUUUUUUUAUAGUAACAUACAAAAUUUCUCCUUUACUGAUUGAAUUCAUGUUGAUAUGUCUUGUGGCUCUGAUACCACAUGUAAGACCCUUAAUCAUAAUCACCAAGACCAAAACAUGAACUACAACUUAGAGAGAAAUAUUCAACUUAUGUAUCUGAGAAACACAGGAAGAAGAACAUACCUGCACUUGUAGCAGAACCCGAAGCCAUAGCCGCAAACUUUCAGUGUACCUUCUCUUCUCUCGCAGGUUAUCAAGAGCUCGACUUAUAAAUAGGAUUAAGUCCAGAAUAUCAGCCUUUUACUGUGAGAAGAGAGGCCACUAUAUAUAUACAUAUAAUCUUUACCAUAACUGAUUAGGAUUCCCUAUCAAAAUCCAUGUAGGAAACAAAUCUUGUCUCCUUGUUCUGAUCUUCAUGCUGUACAGAAUCCCUCUUCAUAAGGGAUUAGCAUUCCUUUUAUUAUCAAGACUUUUCUAUCCAAUUGAACACAUAUAGCCGGUCCUAAAACUCCUCUAUCUCAUACUCAUAUUCUUACAUCACAAACGGCCAAAUUCGUCAUGACGUUUUACUAAAUUAAUUUCCAACGUUAGUACUAGGAGAUGCUUUUCAGCUAUGAAGCUGUUCGGUGAUCACACAAAUAAGAAGACCCGAGAGCAUGGCGGAACGCAACAUGUUUCACGACGCGACGAGUGAAAACUGAACAGUCGAUCCUUUCCGUAAUCUGUGUGGUUCAGAGGGGUUGCAAGGAUUUUUGAAUGACGAGAAUGGUUUGAAGAGUCGGGAUCAAAGUAUUUCCGGUGUUGGUCAAUGGGGAAGUUUGAGAAGGAAACUCCCCUAAUAGACCGUGGAAGUCUUCUAGUCAAGCAACAUUUUACAUGGUUAGUUCCCGCGAGUUUUCCAAUCUCCCAAAUUCCAAGUCAACUGGCGUCUUAAUAUACUGCAAACAAAGAAUUCUGAACCUCUAUACAAUUCAGCAAUCUUAUUCUGAAUUAGAGGAGGAGUAGAUCUUAUUUUUCUUCCUCUGCGGGUGUUUUCUUCUUGUUGAUCAACUCAGAAUUUUCGGAUGGCUCCGGUGGCUUCUCUCCGUUCUUGCUCACAUUGUGGUUCUGCACUCUGCUGAAUAUUCAGAUGUGGAACCCUCCAAACAUUCUCAAGCCCAAUUCUGCAGUGACAUAGCUGGCACCAUCAGAUUCCCCUUCAAAAGCAUGGGAGAUCCUCCCGGAUGCGGAUAGUUCACAGUCAAUUGUUCAGUAGCCUCUCGGCCAAAUAUCCAAUUGAAAGAGGGGGAUACUGCAUGAAUUCGAAGGUCCUUUAUUAACUACGAUUUUUAUCAAAAACAGUCUCCUUGCCGACCGCUUUAGAAAGGAUCGCUGCAAUGACGGAGUUUUCGACGACUUGAGUCUUCCCAGCGCUUCUCCAAUCCCUGACGCAGUAUUAUUCACACACACUCUGACCCUUUUCAAAUGCAACACCACCUUAGACAAAAAUUCUUAUCCAC
This 74628-nucleotide long non-coding RNA is filed under the name Malus domestica (apple). Its description in RNAcentral is "long non-coding RNA (MDOM_LNC016034)". The record is from RNAcentral. Lineage: Eukaryota; Viridiplantae; Streptophyta; Magnoliopsida; Rosales; Rosaceae.